Molecule: long non-coding RNA, 56332 nt
Filed under: Coffea arabica (coffee)
Lineage: Eukaryota; Viridiplantae; Streptophyta; Magnoliopsida; Gentianales; Rubiaceae
Description: long non-coding RNA (CARA_LNC002455)
Source: RNAcentral
UUUUUUUUUUUUUUUUGUGUAAACAAAGAACUCCUGUCUUAGGCGUGGUCACGUCUAACUGCUAUAGAGUCCUCAGAACCUGCACGAAAAUUUCUUCCCCUCGGGCGUGACCACCUGGCGUGGGCACGUCUAACUGCCAUGGAGUCCGCAGAUCCUGAACGAAAAUUUCUUUCCCUCAGGCGUGACCACCUGGCGUGGGCACGUCUAACUGCCAUGGAGUCCGCAGAUCAUGAACGAAAAUUUCUUUCCCUCAGGCGUGACCACCUGCCGUGGGCACGUCUAACUGCCAAUUUCCUAUCACCAACCAUCAACCUAUUAAUUGACAUUAACACUUAACUAAAACUUCAAAAAUGUAUAAAAACUGAAACAAAUAGUCUUGGGUUGCCUCCCAAGUAGCGCCUUUCUUUAAUGUCUUUGGCUAGACAUUGAACACCACUCUUCAAUCUGGGUGUAACUCAAUUUUCCUGGAAAUCGGUGGCCCUCCCCCAGGAUCCAAAUAGCCUUUGAGUGCAGCCUUCUUUCUUAAUUUUCUACUCCUUUUCACCUCAUACAGUGCUUUCAUCCCCUUAUACUUGUUCUCAGUAAGUUUGAAUUUAUCCCUACAAGCAAACUCAGAAAAUUCUUGCACAGAGGGAUUAAUAGCAUGAAUAGCAAACACAGGGUGAGAGUUAACAGGAUGUUUCAUUGUAUCGAAAAUAUUAAAGUGGACUAGUUCUCCAUCAAAUUCCAUGGACAAUGUACCCUUAUUAACGUCAAUUUUUGUCUGUGCUGUGCUCAAAAAGGGUCUACCUAGUAGCAAAGGUGAGGGGUCAGGGGAAUGAUCAUCAUCCAUGUCAAGUACAUAAAAGUCAGCCGGGAAUAUCAAUUUAUUAACUUUAACCAGCACAUCCUCGACCAACCCAUCAGGGUAUGCAUUUGUUCGGUCAGCUAAUUGAAUUAUUAUCUCGGUUUCUUUUAAUGGACCGAGAUUCAGAGAAGCAUACAUAGAUUUUGGCAUUACGUUGAUCGAUGCUCCUAAAUCCAGCAAGGUAUUUCUAAUCAGAGUAUUACCUAUCUUGCAUGGGACAGUAAACCUACCUGGAUCCCCACACUUUGGUGGUAGCUUUCUUUGGAGAACUGCUGACACAUUCUCCCCAACAAUAACUCUUUCAUCUCCCCUCAGCCUCCUUCGAUUGACACAUAGGUCCCUCAGAAAUUUUGCAUACUUCGGCACUUGCUUGAUGGCGUCUAGUAGGGGGAUAUUGAUUUCUACCUUGCGAAACACCUCCAGGAUCUCUUUCUCCUUGUCCUGCUUCUUCGAUUUUUUCAACCUGCAAGGAAAUGGAGGGGGAUUAGUUUUAACUGUAAUUACUGGGUCUGGAAGUACCUUUAGAUCUGCACCAUUGCUGUCCUCCCUCUCAAGUUCAUUUUCGAUCUUUUCCUCAUCCUUAUCCUUAGGGAUCAUAGGUUCAGGCCCCUGAAUUUCCUUCACGCUCCUUAAAGUCAUUGCGCUUACGUUCUUCAGGUUCAGUUCAGGUUGGGAUGGCAAUCUUCCAUUUACUUGGGACUCCAAACGGUUGAUUGUUGUGGCCAUUUUACUUAUCUGACUCCUUAUAUCCUGCAUUUCGGAGUCCGUCCUUUGCUGAUUUUGCAUAAUGGUUGCCUCCGUCCUUUGCUGAUUUUACGCCAUGGUUGUCAUCAUUUGUUUCAUCAUCUCCUCCAAAGAUGGACCAGAGCUUGGGGGCGGAGGUGGUCGGGGUUGGUAUUGUUGCUGGUACCCUGGUGGCUUAUUUGGCACAAAGUUAGACUGCCUGUUCGGUGUAAAGUUGGGUUGCCUAUUCCCUCCAUAACUGAGGUUGGGAUGAUCUCUCCACCCGGGGUUGUAGGUGCUUGAGUAAGGGUCGUACUGCUUCCUUGGCGCGGGCGCGUGAUCAGCCAUGUUCACAUGUUCUGCAGUUUCUUCCUGAAUCAUUGGGCACAUAUCUGCAGAGUGACCUAUACCAGUGCAAAUCCCGCAUACCCUGGCUUGUGAUGCAUUUCUCACAGCCUGUUGCCUAACAAACGCGGUCAACUCAGUUAGCUGCUGCUGCAUGGAGGGUGUCUCUACCUCAUUCACCCUGCGUAUUGGAACAUCCUCUCUCGUACCGAAUUGUUGUGAAUUCUCUGCCAUCCCCUCUAUUAACUCCCGUGCUUCCUGAGGGGUUUUGUUCACCAGUGCCCCUCCACUUGCAGCAUCAAUUAUGCUCAUGUCUCUAAAAAGGAGCCCCUCAUAAAAAUACUAUAUGAGCAACUGCUCACUUAUUUGGUGUUGGGGGCACAUUCUGCACAACUUCUUGAACCGUUCCCAAUACUCAUAGAGUGACUCCCCUGGGUGCUGCUUGAUCCCGCAAAUUUCUUUCCUUAGACUCGCAGCCCUGGAUACAGGAAAAUAUUUAUCUAAAAAUUUUUUCUUUAAUUGGUCCCACGUGGUGAUGCUACCUGGUGACAGGUAGUACAGCCAAUCCUUCGCAGAAUCUUUCAAGGAGAAGGGAAAUGCCCUCAUUUUUAUCUGCUCUUCUGUAAUGUCCGGGGGCUUCAUACUGUUGCACACGACAUCAAACUCCUGCAGAUGCUUAUACGGCUCCUCACCUGGUAAACCAUGAAAAGAGGGUAAAAGAGAAAUCAGGCCAGAUUUUAACUCAAAUGAAGUGUUUUCACUCAAACUCGGGAAAGUAAUGCACAAAGGCUGCUGAUUUAAAUUAGGGGCAGCCAACUCCCUUAAUGCUUGUGCAUUAGCCAUGGGGAUUUCUUCUUGCUCCGAGUCACUCGAAGUGUUACCAAAUGAAUCUGUUGGUUCAACUCCUGACUCAGGUCUCUGAGAUGUAGCACUGGAGUGCUUCUCUCUGAGCUGUCUGGUUUCCUUUCUCGUUCUACGCGCGGUCUUCUCUACUUCAGAGUCAAAAAUCAAAUCACCUGUACGAGAAGACCGAGGCAUACACUAGAAAAAUACCAGAAAAUUAGAACAAAAAUGAAUUUAAAAAGAAACAAAUUAUAACGCCAGUCCCCGGCAACGGCGCCAAAAAUUGACAGGUGCCGAACCUGUGCAAUAAUAAUAAUAAAUAUAGAACCUAUCUACCACUAAAAGCAGUCAAUAAUUAAUCCUAAGUACUGGAGCAGGGACUCUAGGUGUGCAAUGGGUUACUUGAUUCACCCUGUUCCCGAAGAGUUUGCUUAACCCGAUAUACCAGAAUUAAUUAGUUGGCAGAAAUUACUGAAUAGUAGACAGUGGCAAGUAGGGUCGUCUCCUCAGGGACUGGAGAUAUCUGUCUCUUUUAAAAUCCAAUUGAUUAGGGGGGAUUUCACCGGAAUGAAACUAAAAACAAUUAAACAAUUUUGACUAAAAUGAAUAAAUAACUAGCACAAGUAUAGCAGGAAUUUAAUCAGGAAUAAAUAAAUUCUAGUCAAGGAUACAACUACUCAGGCGCAGUUCAAUCAUCCGAUCAUUGAUGCAAGAGAUGUUCACUUAAUGUAUUAAUAGGCUAGUUAUAGUCUGACGACCAAUUUUUCCUUAAAUUAUUGAUAACCAAGGUACGACCGUUGAUUACCCCUAAUCAGCAAAUACUCCUAGGUACGACCAUAGGAAGUAAUUUUCCAAUUGCAUUAAUAACUAGAAAAACCUAGCCCUAAUCAAUAACACGCUACGAGGGUUAUUUAAAUUAGAUCGCAUGUUCCCCUAAUGUGUAAACACACCAGUUGCCACUAAUAUUAAUCAAUCAAACAAUUACGGAUUUAAUUGACUAAAUUAGCACGAGAUUAAUAAAUCACAUUGAACAUCGGGCCCUUGACAUCCAAUUAAUAAAAUAAUCCCAUGAAAAUUCAAGCACACAACGUGCAAAUAUUAAUAAAUAAAGGAACACGUGAAAACUAAUUAGAUCUCACAGAUUUUCGGGACUGCGCCGUCGAGUUGACCCUUGACUAGAUGGAAGGCUUAGCCACGCCGCAUAAUUAAAUCACCACACGAAUUAAUAAAUUGCAAAGGCAUUGCGUUUUCUAUUAGGAAGUAAGGAAUAAAAGGUGUUUUUCCCGUUGGGGAAUAUUGUCGAACACCUGGCGUGUGUCAGAGGCCAGUCAGGAGAAGAAAAGAAAAACUAAAGACUAGGCUAAAAACUAAACUAAAAGAUAAACUAAAACUAGAGAUGUCUUCCUUCCUACGUUAUCCCUAUUUAAGAGACAAAAGAAAGAUAGACUAAAGCUAUCUAGGUGGUCCCCACACAUGUGGACAAAGCCUCCAAAGUACUUCUUCUCCCAAGUCUCUUUUCCAUAGCUUUCUUUGAAAAGCCCAAAUGACUUAUAGCUUUGUGGUCCCCACCAAUCCAAGGGCCCAAGGAUUGAAGCCCUUAGAAGUCUCCAUAUUCUCCAUAAAGUCCCUCCUUUUUGGUAGUUUUCUGCUUCAUUCCUGAAAUUAAGUCCAGAUACCAAAUAUGAGUAAAUAUCAGCAAUUAACACAAUAUUUAUCAGGGAUAAAAGGGGAAAUAAAUAAUAAAAUUACUAACAAAUUAUACCCUAUCAGAACUCAAAGAUACUUAGUUUAUAUAUAUAUAAUUUGAGUAAAUUUUAUAUACACUGAUAAUAUAUACACUAUCAUCGUUGGAUUCAUGACAUGUGUGCAAAAGUUGAAUUUCAAAUUCAAAUUUUGCACAAUUGUCAUUCAUUCAAUGCUAUAGUAUAUACAUUGUUAGUAUAGAAAAGAUUAAUCCAUAUAAUUUUUAUUUAAUAGUGAAAUUAUAUAUAUAACCUAAAUUUUAUUAUUUGUUAAGAAAAAUUACUAUUUUAUUCUUUUUUAAAAAUAAAAUAAUUAUUUUUUAUUUUUUAAACUCGAGUUCGAACUCAAAUUUUACAUUGAAAGCUCAUCGAACUCAAACGAGAGCUCAAGUUUUAAAUUUGGUAAAAUUGAAUUGAAACUCGACUCAAUUAAGUCAAAAUUUGAUUUGACUCAACUUGGUUGCAUUCUUAUUUGAAAGGUGCACGAGUUUUUAGGAGGUAUCAUUUUGGUAUUAGAAUUUCCUGAAAAUGCAAUCUUUAAAUUUACUUCAAAUACUUUCCACUUUAACCCUUUUUUUUUUUUUACUAUUAUAAGUGUAAAUGAGUCUAAUCAAAUCGAACAUCCUAAUAUUCAAGUUUAAUUAUUUUAAUGAGUUUGAAAUUUUCAAAUUUAAUUUAUUUAUUUGUUGAAUCAAACUUAAACGAAUCUUUUAUUGAAUUUGAAAUUUAUCGAGCUCUUCAAUGACUUGUUGGCGAACCAAAUUAGAAUGAACUCUCGUCAAAUCAAAUUGAGUAUGAUUCUUGUAUUGAGUUUUUGAUUAUUUUUCAACCCUAUUUACUAUCCUUUGUCAUCUUGGGGAGCAAAAAAACUAUAAAUUUAUUCCUUUCUUGGUGAUCCAAUAACCCGUUUUAUCCUCCUCUGGCUUUUCUUUUCCUUUCUUUUCUGACUCCAAUCCAAGGGCCCAAAUUCACUCGCAUCCGAUCAACGGUCAAAUUUCAUCCUCCACCUUUCCCAGAAGUGGUAUCAUCUCCCAAAGCAUCUUCUCAGUCGAUAUUCCUCUCAGAUUCCCCCCAGUCCCGGGUGCCCGUGUUUCGCUUUUCCCAACAAUCCAUCCCGGCCCCCUCUUUCCCUCUCCUUCUUUCGCUUUCUCGCACCUUGAUCGGAGACGGAAACUAUGGAGAGUAAACCCCAGAAGCCAAUUCCCAUGAAUGACCCCCCGACGGACCGCCCUGUUCGUGUUUACGCAGAUGGAAUUUAUGAUCUCUUCCACUUCGGCCACGCUCGCUCCCUUGAACAAGCUAAAAAAUCGUAAUGAUUUCUUAUUUUUCUAAUCUAUUUGCUUUUAAAUUUGAGAAUUUUUUUUUGGAGCGGGUGACUUAGUUCUUCUUUAUUUUUUAAUUUUUUUGGGUGAUCUUUGGGCAGUAUGGGAUGUGGUUUGGGUUAUUUUGGUAGCUUGUCAUCUCAAGCGUUUUGAUAAAAUGUGUCUAUGAGAUUUGGUUGAUUUAAAGUUAGAAUUGAUAGUGCAAUGUUGGCCUGCUUUCUUAUGUAGGGGAAUAUUGGUAGUGGGGAUUGUAUUUUCUUCCUAUGAGGUUGAUCCGUGUAAUACGAUGCCCAUAUGAUUCUAGAAUUGUGGAAAAGGAUGAUAAAGAAACCAUCUUGAAGGAGGCAGCGUUGGAGCUGAUUUCAUACCAUGUACAUGUGCCGUUGUUUGCCUUGAAAAAGCGUGGAUUAGUAAGAUAUUGACCACAAUUAGAGCGUUAAGGAACUUAAAAUUAGAGUUGUUAGGAUCAGCCGUGGUAUUGGGACAGACUGCUUUUUGUUCAUGUAAAGCUUAUGAAAACCAGGGUAGCAUUCUAGUUAUUCUAUCUAUCAUUUUCUUCCUGAAUGUUGUAUAUAUUCUCGAAUAUUUGACUGCAAUAUUUCCUUGGCAGUGUUAUAAUUAUGUUGAAUUGUGGAUAUCAUGAUUAAUUGCCUUUUUUGUCACUCCUUUUGGUAAUUGUGAUUAUGAUUGAUUAUUUUCUAUCCAGGUUUCCCAACACCUAUCUACUUGUAGGAUGUUGCAAUGAUGAAGUCACCCACAAAUAUAAGGGUAAAACAGUUAUGACUGAUGCGGAGCGAUAUGAAUCUCUCCGGCAUUGCAGGUUGAUGUGAAGUAAUUUCUGUUAUUUAAGCUCUCUAUAUGAAUGGUGGUUUGAUUCAUUAUGUAAAUCCUAAUAGACGAGGAAGUGGUUUGAUUCAUUAAUUAAAUACUAAUAGAUGAGCAAAGGGGAUGUUGAACGAGGAGCCAGUGCAUUUUCUUUUGAGGCUAGUUUUACAUCUCCUUUUAUCUAGGCAUUUAUUUAUGCAUUAGGUACUUUUCUCUUGUGUAGCUAUUUUCUUCAGAUGACUUAUGGACUUUUGAAGCAGUGAAUAUUACCACCUCAAGGAUAAAUACUUCAAUUAAACUUUAGUAUAGUCUUCCUUCCUUCCUUUUAUUUUUUAAACAUUUUUUAAUUCUUUUACUUUUUAUACAUUGGAAGGUAAAGGGUAUGCAAAAAGACAAGAACUUGAGUGCUGUUAUUUGUUUCUUUCAUUAGAACUUCAUUUGCAAUUGCCUCUUGCUUGUUUUGUUUGCUGCAUCCUCUUUAUGCUCGAGGAUACGGUUGCAACUAUGAAAAAUUUUGUUCUGCUUUGUUGUCCAGACAAACUUCUAGGUCUUUCGACUUCCUCAGAACAGACAGCCAAAGAAGUCAAAUGAGUGAGAAAGAGAUAGAGUACCUUGAUAUGCACCAGUUCUUAUAGGAGAGAGUAGACCUCUGAUUAAGUUCAAGCAGUCAUUUUUUAUUUAUGAUGGGGUAGCAGAACGAUAUUCUUUCCUUUGACCAUCCAGCAUUGUUGGGAUAACACUUUUAUUCUGCAUUGUGAACAGAAGCUUCCCUUACUAAGAAAGAAGGAAGCAUCUGUUCCCACGUUAGUUUCACCAUUGUCCCCUUCAAAUUCUAUUUUUGAAGUAUCAGAUUUAUUUGCUGGAAGUCACAGCUUCAAAGGGGUUGACCACUGAGAUUUUUUCAAAUAGGGCUUUAGUUGGGAACCUUAUCAAAUGUGUGUCUUGGAGCUUUUGCCUUGUAGCUAAAGUUAUAGAGAUAGAGAAUUCUUGGUGCUUUAGUAAGCUAGAUUGAUAGUUAAAAUCAAAAUUUCUGUUAUAUCCUGUUGUCCUGUACUGUUGCAUUUUCAGUGCAAGCUUGUGUUUAUUUGUCUAUUCUUUCUAACUUCUUGUUCCUUAUAGGUGGGUUGAUGAAGUUAUUCCAGAUGCCCCUUGGGUGACUACACAGGAAUUCCUUGAUAAACAUCAGAUCGACUUUGUGGCACAUGACUCUCUUCCGUAAGGUUUACAAACCCAAGAACUGUUUAUUAUGCUUGCCUCUAUUGGCCUUUUGGCGUAGAUGAAGUCUUCUUCAAACCUUCAAAGUGUAGGUUGUAUAAAAUCUGUUAAACAUGGUUACAGGAUAACCAUGAUAUAUAAAGACCCAGCAUGGUUUCUGUGAAACUAAAAAGGAUGUACAUUUGUGAAAUAAUGUGGCUAGACUAUAAGGCACAUAGUUCAUGUCCUCUGCUGCUACCUCUUGAACCAAGUAUGAAAAAAAAAAAGAAAGGAAAAAGAUAAGAACUUAGAAAAUCUCUGCAGUACCAUACUUUUUUGCUUGGUUUCUUUUUCUUGUAUACUUGUAUGUUGAUAUUCUCUCUUAAUGUCAGUUAUGCUGAUGCAAGUGGGGCUGCCAAUGAUGUCUAUGAAUUUGUAAGUGCAAAUUGUCAUUACCAUGCAGGCUAGUGCUUUUAAUUAUUGUGGCUGCUAUUAUUGCUUCUAUCUUUAUUACUUUGUUCUCUUGUUUGAUUAAUACCUAUUUGGCUGCUAUAUGUUUGGUUUCUGUUACUUUUCUAGACAAUUUGUUUGCCUGCUCGUUGUUUCUCUUCUAACUUAUCCUCUAAUUGGCUUUUUCCUUUCAAGCUGCUUAACUGCUAUGUCAGUCUUAAAUCCUCUCGUGCUGCCUAGAUGACUGUUUUGAUAUGAAAAUCAUAUGUCAAAAUCUUAUUUUAGGUUAAGGCUGCUGGAAAGUUUAAAGAGACAAAGCGAACAGAAGGAAUCUCAACAUCAGAUCUUAUAAUGAGGAUAGUGAAAGAUUAUAACGAAUAUGUGAUGCGGAACUUGGACCGGGGUUACUCAAGAAAGGAACUGGGUGUGAGCUAUGUCAAGGUAGAGUUACACGUCUUGGCUGAUUAGUUGAACGUCUACAAUGUCCAUUACCAUCUCUCUCGUUGGGAUGCGUAUUGAGUGCUUUCUCAUUUUAAUUGAAGGAAAAAAGAUUGAGGGUGAAUAGGGGGUUAAGAAAGUUGCAGGAGAAAGUGAAGAAGCAACAAGAGAAAGUGGAAGAGAAGGUAUGCAAGUCUUGUUGCCAUAUUGAUGUUAUCUUUAACAUAUAGUGUAAUGUAGUGAAGAUGAAUCAUGAUAUGUUGUAUCUGGCCAUAAUAACCAUUCUAUUUCAUCAGAAUAAGAAAAUAGUAGCCUAACAUAUUCAUUGGUUGCAAAUUUGCAAUUUUAUGUUUUAAUGAUCUAUAUGAAUUUGGAAGUGCAAUUUCAGUCGGUUAUAUUUUUGUUCACUUUGGAGCUCAAAUAAAUUAGGCGCUGCAAAUUUGGACUUGUGACAUUUAACUUCUACAGUGUGGAACCAUGAGAAGGGAGAUUGGAAUUUUGCUAUGUGAUAGUGGCCCUCCGAAUUAUGAACUAAUGUUCUAGAAUUUGUUUAAAAAAACUUUCUACACUAGUGAAUCAUCAGAAGAGGGAAAAGAAGAUGACGAAAAUGAAUUUGUGCCAGGCCAUUGACUUUCAAAGAAAGUAUGAAGAUGUCUGCAUAACAGAAAAGUACUGUUGUGGAUUUUGCUGAUAAAAAUUAAGCUGGCAUAUGAUAGUUUUAAUGGAACAGCAGAUCAUAUAAUGGUAGAACUGCCUCUAAUGUCUUUGGAGUGUUAACAGGAACCUUUUGGUGAGCUCUAGGCAAAGAGAGCAAGCCCUCUGGUAAUAUUGACAGUUUGGCAGCAUUAUAAUGCCAAGAAAAUACACUGUAAUUGGUGAAUCUAAGUCUACAUCAGUAAGAUCUUCAUUGAGGAGUUAUAUGCUUGGAUUUCUCACAUGGCGUGUGAUUCCCUUGCAUAAUUUUUUUCCUCUCAAUAAAUUAAGUAAUAUUGAACAUUGCCCAUGCUUGAUACAAUUGACAAGCUUGAGUUAUAUCACGGACUUAAAUUUAUUGGUAGUCAAUAUCUGUUUUGAAACACUACAGUUUUUCAAAUUAAUCUGUCAUUUUUUAGUUCAAACCAUGAUUACUAGGAAUUUUUGUGAUCAACUGUCAAUUCUUUGUUGUGUUGCGCAGCAUUACUGAGCUUUGUAAGUUUUGUGUUUCUGAGGAGGCUCCAUCUCCAUGUGGAAUGCUUUCAGCUUUUUCCUGUACAACGAGUGUUCCCCCCCCCCCCCCCCAAAACACCAAACUCUUUUUCCAGCUAUAUUUGAAUUACUGUAAUUCUUUUCUCUGUGAAUCUUCAGAUGCAAACAGUGGCAAAACAUCGUAACAUAUGGGUGGACAAUGCUGAUCGAUUGGUUGCUGGGUUUCUUGAGAUGUUUGAAGAAGGUUGCCAUAGAAUGGUAAUUAUGUCAUUGUCAUUUUUUGUAUCAUGAAGAUCUAAGAAAAAAUUUGUUGAUAGAGUACAAUUUUUAAGCUUGUGCCCUCUGUAUAGGAAGUGUGUGGUAGGAAAGGGUAGACAGGACUUAAUAACAUGCUACACUUUUGAUUACUGAAAUAAGUGUCAGAUUUGCUUCUGGGAUUAGACUUUAUUUGGACAUUUCUCCAGGGAACUGCCAUCAGAGACCGGAUUCAAGAACAAAUAAGGACAAAGAAUAUACGGGGACUGAUAUACGAUAAAGAAGAUGAAGAUGACUACGAGGAGGAUGAUGGGUAUUAUUACGAUGGCAGUACGGAUGAUGAAUACUAUGAUGAUGAGGGUGAGGAAUGACCUCCUCAUCAUCCGAUGUUUAGUUCGAAAAGGUGGCUGUCAUAUUCAGCUGCAACACAUGGAGUGUGGUCUGGAUCAAGACUUAUAAGUGUUUUUCUGCUUGCCUGUUUCAAAAAAUGUCUACCCCACAUGCAUCAGUUUUGAUGUGUCCUUGUGCAUCAGAAAGUGCUGUUUGUAUUUUUUGGGCUUCAUUUAGGUAUGUUUUGGAAAGUGUUCUUUGUAAUUUGUAGAAAAUAGCGCUGAUUAUUAUUCUUAACAGAACUCUUAGAAACUUAAAAAGUGUAAAACAGUUUUGGAAAUUAUAGAUAUUUAACGUGGAUGUUUGCUUGUUUCUACAAAUGCUUUAUUUAGUUGCCAGCCCCCCGUCCUCCCCCGGUUUUUGUACUUCUUGGUAUGCAUGGAUUGGAAUUUUUAUUGCGACAGAGUAACCGAAGGAUUGAACUAUUGCAUGUUCUUCAUAUUAACCUAUUGGAGAUUGAUUGGUAUGUCCAAUUCGAUGAAUUCUAUCAGCUGCAAAUAAUUUUCUCCUGUUGCUCUUUUGCUUCGGAUUUAGCUAGGAUUGGUUGAUGGUUAAUUUUUGGGGUAAAAAAAAAACAUGACAUGAUCCUUAAUAGGAAGUUGUAAGGCUAUAAAAAUUGUAAACUACCCGUUUAAACUAUUACCUCAGUUAAAAGGUGGCUGUAUUCUUGGUUAAUUGAUGUAUUACUAAAACCGUUUAUAGGCUGAGCACUCAAUAGAUGGAAAUGGUAUUUCAUCUAAACAUGAAACUUUUAGUUGCACAAUCUGGCCGCCAACAUUUCACGAUAGAGAAUUAAUCUGCAGUUCUGCAAGAAACACUGAAAUUAAUAUCUGAAACCAGAAUUUCAAUUUGCUAAAUGCGGUUAAGAGUUUCGCUACAUAUAUUCUCGAGCAUGAAAACCAGCUUAAAGCAAAAUGAAAUCAAUUUUUCUAAAGAUCUCAAACAAAAAUCUAGCAGAUUACUUUAAAGCCAACCAAAAUCUGCAUGAUCAGAAUUUCGGUUUUCUUUAAGAGGUAAGAAUUACAGUAGAUAUAAUCUAGAGGACCAACAAAACCAACUUAAGCAAAUUGAAUUCACGUUUCCAAAGAUAUCAAGCACUAAUUGAUAGUUGAGUAUCCAGAUUGAGCAAAACAUUCCAUUGCAUGGAGGUUGAAUUAAGAAACACAUCAUCUCACAAAUGAAUCGAGAGAAGAAUAAGUUACUGAAAUUUGUUUAUCUUACAAGUUCGGGGAGUAAUACAACAGAAUCCACAAUCAUACUCUUAUCAUCUCAAAUAUGAACUACUAAUAAGCACUUUGAUGUCCCCAGUUGCUUCCCUGAUUCUUUUUGCAGACUCUUCCGCAGAUUGUCUGCACCAGUGCACUUCAAUCAAUUCCAGUGUGCCUAUGUCUGCAAAAUCAUACGGGAUUUCCUUGAGGUCUUUGCAAUUUUGCAAGACAAGCCGUUCAAGUUUGGGAAGGUGAUCACAAGUAGCAUUCCAUUGAGAAACGUUCAGAUUGUCUAACUUCAAGAAUUUGAGUUCCUUGAACUGAUCUUCCUCCAUGUCCCAUGUCAGCCCCUCAAAGGCAUCAAGAAGUAAUUUGAGAACUUCCAGGUUGGGUAGUCUCCCAAUUGUUGAGAUAUGACUCCAUGGUAGACGAAACUUUGAAAGAGUCAAUUUCCUCAGAUUGGAAGGGAGAAUGAAUUCCCUGGUAAUAGCGCUUCCAUAGUAAGAUACAUUGAGUGACACCAAAUGAGUUAGAAAAUCUAAUCCUGGAAACUGAUAGGAAUUCUUCGAAGAACCCUGUGGAUGAAAGAAUAUGCAUCUCAGUUUCUGGAGAUUUGGCAACCUCUUUAUUAUUGAUUCUGUAUCUUCACCACAAGAGAGAGAGAGACAGGAAAGGCUGACCAAAUCACCCAACUUACAGCAGACUUCAAGCCCUUCAUCAUCCAAUGUGAAAGCAACAUGCAUAUUCACAUGAAGAUGCCUCAACCUUGUCAUGUGCCAAAUAGUAUCUGGUAAGACAACCUGACCACGUAAUCCCUUCAAAACAAAAGUUUCUAGUUUUCGGAGAUUGCCUAUGGAUUGUGGAAUAGUUUGCAUAUAACCAGUGAUUGCCAAAUACCUCAAAUGAACCAGGCAUGUAAUGUCAGCAGGGAAGGUGACACCCAGGUUGAUGCAUUCAAAAUCUAACACCCGCAGAAGUUUGAAGUUGUGCCAAAUGAAUGAGAUGUCAUAAGGACAUCUGGGCUCUGAAUCAGCUGAAGGAAAGAAUAUCAAAGAACGAGUACCCAGGCCAAAAGGUCUUGAUUUAAAAAAAUGGAGUCGCUUCAAAAAAAAGCACAAUCGGUAGGCUUCAUAUGUGACAGGAUCAGAAUGAUGGCCAAUUUCAAAACCAAAAUCUGAACUAGGAAAAGAUACAUAUGGCUCAUCAAACCUGGUUACUAGCCGGAAGAAGUUCUCUGCUCUGGCUUUUAACUGACAAAAAUCACGCAACAGAUCAUGCAAGCGACAUGAUUUGACCAUUCCGUUGGAUCUUCUUUUGGAGACUUCCACCAGGCUUCUGCUAAUCAACUCCAUCAAGUAACCCUCGGCAAUACCUUCUAAGCUCUUCAACUCAGAGUCAUGAAUGAAACCUUCAGCAAGCCAAAACCGUAUCAACUUGCUAACAGGAAUAUCCUUGUCUUCAAGGAAAACUCCCAAAUAAAGAAAGCACGGUUUUAGAUAUCCCGGCAAGUGUUUGUAACUCAAUUCAAAGAUUUCCAUGCACCGAGCUUUUGGAUCUUCUAUAACUUCAGCAAUCAAGCCUUUUGCAAUUUUCCCCCAUGAUGCUCUGCUCUUUUCUAUCUUUUGGAGGAGACCAGAUAUUGCAACAACAGCAAGAGGCAAUCCUUUACACUUUUUGGCAAUUUCCUUUCCAACAAGCAACAAUUCUUCGGGACAACCUUCACCAUGGAAUACUUUCUCUACUAAUAAGUUCCAGCUUUCAUCAUCAGAAAAUAAGCGUAGAGAAUGAGGAUCACUAUCUGGUUCAAUUUGCAAGGCCACAUCACGAAGGCGGCUGGUAAUCAAAAUUCUGCUUCCAUUGGCAUCAUCUGGGAAUGCAUUUCUUAACUCAUUCCAAACUCCAGCAUCCCACACGUCAUCCAUAACAAUGAGAAACCUGUUUCUCAGUAAGCACUGACGCAAUUUUAAUUGGAGAUCUUCGUUAGUCAUUUGACGAAUUUCAUCCGUAAGCCCGAGAAUGCCACGUAAAAUCUCCAGCAGCAGGUCUCUUUUGUCAUAUCCUUGUGAAACAGUACACCAUGCACGACAAUGAAAGUGAGACAAAACCUUUUGGCAGUUAAACAGUUUCCAAGCCAUUGUUGUCUUGCCAAUACCGGGCAUUCCCACAAGAGAAACAAUACCAAACUUUGAGGAUCCCUUGACAAGUUGAUCAGUUAUAGAUUGUUCUUCAUCUCUGGGAUCCACCACCAUUCCAUUGAUUGCUGGUGUAGCAUCCCGUGAUAUCACGUUGGGUGGAACCUGGAUGACGUGUUUGUUAUCUAGGACUUUGGCUUGAGGGGUCGUCAACUGAAUUCUAGAGGCUCGCUUAUUAACAAUUCUUAACUCCUCUAGUAGAUCAUAAACCAAAAAGAAACCUUGCCAUUGAGGAUCGACCUCAAUUGAGUCAAUGACAAACUCAAUUUUGUAAGCAAUAUUGGCAACAUGACCACCAAGAACUUUCACUUCUGGAUUGUUAUCAAUAUCCGACUCUGAGACUUUCAUGAGAAAAGAACCCAAAGACUUGAAAUGUAGAUGAAUUUCUUUUAUGUAAUUCCUGACUGGUUCAAUUGACGCAGGAUCAUAGUUCAGCAGUUCCUCCAGGCUUCCGAUGAGAAAUUCAACGAACCCUGGCUUGUCAGUCUUUGGAAAAUCAGACAAUGGAAAUGGGGGACUAACCACUCUGAGCGUAGACUUGAUAGGAUUCAGCUUAUCUUGCAGUCUAGAAGAUGAGAUGAUCAUAUUGUGGAUGGGUCCUGCCAUCCCUGCAUCAGAAGUUUCAGUUUGUGGGAAGAUCGUGUCCAUGUCCUUUGUCUCCUCCUUUAGCUGGUUGCAGAGAAGUGUGAAAAGAUUAAGGAGCACAAGAAGUGCAAUUUGAUCUUUUCGAUAAGCCUCGGAAUUUGCAGCACUACUCCUCUCCAGUUGUAACUUCUCAAAUAAUGCUUCUGCUUUGAAAACAACAAUGUUAAGAAGCAAUAGGAGAAUUGAGUUUCUCACCGUGGAUUCUGUGAUCUUCUUGGCCUCAAACAACUGAUGGAGAGAUGCUACCUUGUAGUCCACUUGUUUAAUGAGAGCCAAUGCCUUAUUCCCAUAUUCUGCCUCCCAAUGCGUAAGAUUUUCCAGAAAACGUAUCAAUUUUUUAGGCAUCCAUUGGACAUCACCUUUAACAUGAUUGAGCAGAUCUUUAGUUCGGAAAGUGCUCCCUUGAUUGUUACAGAAAAGCAUUCCCUUGAGGAAAAGCUCCGUCUGAAGAAGAAAAACAUUUAUACGUAGCUCAGAAUGGCCAUGGAUAUGUUGCUCGCCCUUUCGUUCCGUCUGUAAGAGGAAUUCCAGCUCUAUGAGCACCGUAUGAAUUUCUGCAAGGAAAAUUUGUAUAGUCUGAUCCUCUUCCUCCCCCUCCUCCUGUUGCUUCAGUUUGGUGAAGGCUAAAAGCUUUAACAGCCCAUAGAUCUCUCGAGAACAGAUCUCUCGAGUAUCUCUGAUCCUCACUUCAGUGGCAACAUAAUUGCUAUAAUGAGAGGAAAAAUCGGGCUUAACUCCUCCAAUUUUAUGGAGAGCCACAAGGAAAUGAAAAUGGAACUCCAUGAAUUUGGGAUUAGUAGGAUGAAUCUCAUGUUGCAAAUCCACUACAGAUUUAGUUAGCUUAAUCAUUUCUACCGUUUUGGUUUUGCCUUCGGUUUUCCCGCAGUGAAUCCGGUACUUAAGACUGUGGAUUGCAAUGCGCACCAUCACAGAUGCAACACGAGUCACGAAAUCAUUGAUAGCAUUUACAUCAUCACCACCUGCAGCAGCUGCUGCUGGGAAGUCGAGAUUCCUGGAUACACCUUCCAUGUAUUCCCCGAACAAUCUUAGCUCUUUGCGCCAGGCACCGAUUGGCUCGCUCCAUUUUGUAUCGUCCACAAUAUCGGCCAGAGUGGUUACAAAUUGUAGCCAAAAAGAAACAUCAGAUGGUGAUUGCAGUCGACACGACGACCACCCGGAUAAAUCCAAAAGGUGUUCAACAUCUUCUCCAAUCUCUUCCAUCCAUUUGAUGGAUUUACUGUAAUAAUCAUAGAGAGUUUUGCCAUUUACCGGGGAAAGCUUCAUCUGGGCGUUGUUCUUGUUUAUAAUUACAACAUGCCAACCAAUCUCCUCGGCUGCAGCUUCAAUCUUGACUCCCAUAUUAAGCAGCACGCGCUCUGCAUCUUCGUCUCUCAUCAGCUUGUGAAUUGCUUCCGAAAUUAACCUCAAAAGCUUCCAAUCUCCCAAGAUGCGAUCGCGUUGACGCCAGCGUACGCGGUGACUUUUGUUUCCACGCGCAACUGCAUCGAUAAAUUUGCUACUUCCCCGUACAGCAUCCAAGAAAAAAACUAUGAUAUCAAAGCUGGAAAUAGCCAUCUCCAGGUCCAGAAUUUUGAUCUCUUACUCAAGCAUACCAGUUCUGUCUGUCAGACUGAUCUGCAUAAACACAAAUGCUUUUGAUGUAUGUAUUAGGUGAAUAGGUGAUAUCGAGUGGAGGUGAUAUCGAGUGGAGUCGAGUGGAGUGCUCAAUUAUUGAAACAAAUAAACCUAAAAUAGUAAUUAAUUAUUGUAACAAAUAAACUUGAAAUUAUAAUUUGGAUAAUAUUAUUAUAAUAAAUUAAUAUUUAAUAUAAAACUUGAGUGGAGUGCUUGAUUGAUAAAGUUCGAACUCGAGUUGUUAGAGUUCAAAAAUUUUUGGAAAUAAUAGUAUAAUAAUUAAAUAUUUAAUUAUUAUAACAAAUAAAUUUAAAAUUAUAAAUUGAAUAAUAAUAAUAAUAUUUAAUUGAAUACUCGACAGAACUCGUCGAGCUCUUAAGUUUUUUUAAUAGCACCCGAACUUGACUCGAAAAUUCAAUUAAGUAACUUGAACUCGAUCAAUAUCGAGUUCAAUAAAGUAAUUAAACUGAACUGCUAGCGAAUUCGAGUCAAGCUGCUCAAUUAAAUCUCACCCUUAUCCCCAAUGGACCAGGGCCUCACAAUUUGAGGCAAUAUCCACUUCGGACACAUCCGGUCAAGAUCAAAUUGUGAUAAUGAGACAGCCACGAUUUAGUGGGUCGACAGCGCAGUAUCAAUUCGCAUGGGGAAAGAAAAAUCAAAAUUGAGGACUAAUGAAAAGACUAGAACUCAUUGUCCUCUCAUCAGAGAUAGAGGAGAAGAAUCAACGAUGAAGACUACUCAUUUCUGAGAAAUUUCUAACGAAAUCCAACAUAGGGAGAUAAAGUCUCAGACUCUUCAACUUUUUGGGAAGUGAAAUUUUGCAGCCCUACAAGUUCGAGAUUUAUUGAGGCUUUGCUUGUUGGUUCAUAAUUUAACAAAAAAAAAAACAAAAAGUUCUCAUAUCAUCAAAGUAUCAAGUAUGUUCUUGGGUUUUCAGAAUAUUCAUGGAUAUUGGAAAUUUUUUUCUUCGUUUAUUGUAAUUACAAGGGGACACAAAAGGCAUUUGGUUUUUUCCAUUCUUGUGAAGAAAUUCUCGAUAUUUAAUGACUGCUAUAAGAAGAAAAUUAGCAAAAAUGCUAACUCUCUAAUUAUCCAAAUCGAAUGGUAGAUUAGGGCUAUUAUAAUUUCUUGAUUGGCAUUGUUUGAGUUGGUCUUGUUAAAGAAGAAUUUAGAAAUCGUCAUGCCAGUGGUAUGUAUAAGAGUACGUAAAAACACCCUAAAGAAACUUGCCCCUUUUGAUUAUUUACACCAGUAGUCACAACUUUAAGUGCUGGCCAAUCUUGUUACUCUACAACCAUUUGUUGGACAAUGGACAUUGGUUAAUAAAUGGGCCUAAUGCAUAUGCAAACAAACUUAUUAAAGAAGACACACUUGCAAGCUAGAGUUGGCUUGAUAUUAUGCAGGCAUGAUCAAGGAUUCUUAAUUAGGUUCGACAAUUUUGCAAUAAAUUGGGUAAAAUAUCAAAAAACCUCUUGUGAUUUGCCGAGUGUUUAACUUAACUCCUUAUCGUUCGGAAACUUACAUUCUAAGCUCUCAUGGUUUUAACUAAAUUGGAAGGUGGAUAGAAACUGACUAAACUAAUGGUUGCAUCUAAAAUGUCAAAAUUGUCCUUUAUAAAUAAUAAGAUUUAAUGCAAAAAACUAUUUAUGAUCUGUCGAAUGUUCAACAUAACUUUUUAUGAUUUGGAAAUCUAUAUUCUAGCCUCUCGUGGGUUUAACUAAAUUGAAUUCAUUAUAUUAGCCUUCUUCUACUUCAUUCAAACAUUCUUGCUACAGCCAUUUCCCUUACUGGAAGAAUGUAGUUACUAAAGGAAUCAUUAAAAUUGUUUAUCGCGAGAAGCAAGGCUGUAGUUUCCGAAGCACAGAGAGUUAAGAAUACAUAUUAAAGAACUUAUUGAAAUUGUUUAUUACAGGGAGUUAGAAUGUAAGUUCUGAAGUUGUUAAAGCACUCAUUGAGAUUGAUUACUACGAAAGGCUAGAAUAUAGGUUUAUGAAGCAUAGAGAGCUAAGAAUAUAGAUACCAUGUUCAUCAACUAAGGCAUUGCCAAAAAAAAAAAAAAAUCAUGCAAGGUGCCCUUCCAUUGAUAUGCAGGUAUGACAAGUAAUUUUAGGUUAAGAAUUUUGUUUGUUUAGCUGUCUAUGUUUCAAUUGUAUUGUUGAGUACUUCUCUCACAUUCGUAAUUUGAGCAUUUGCACUCCUUUUAGGUGUGUAAAUAUCAUUUUUUAGUUGGCUUGAAAAGGUCUGAAUGUUUGUCACUCUCUGUUGUUCAUUAAUAUACAUUGAUAGUUCGUUGAACUCAAACUCAAGUUUAAAUUUGAUAAAAUUAGAUCGAAUCUCAGCUCGAUUCGAUUAAAAUUCAACUCGACUCGGUUGUAACUCUACCUAGGAGAGUUGUCCUUUAGAUUUAGUGACACUUUGUGUUUCUUGCUUUUAGGAAUGGCUAGGACAGCUUUUGGUAUUUCUCCAUGAUGCCCAAUUGGUAGAUUGCUUGUCAUACAUGAGGAAUCCAAUCUGCUGCCAGCAAUGCUCUCCAGAUAGCUCAAUUCAGCAGAACCCAUCUAGGAUUCGUUGUGGUUAAUUUUAGAUUGCACAAAUUUUGUUACCUCUAACAAUACAAGCCGAUAUGCUUCAAAAAAAAGUCUGAUAAGAAGACCUUUUUUUGGUGUAGUGAAACACUAUUUGCCAUGAUCCUCGUACAUGUAAGCUAGCCGCUCAAAUAUGAAUAUUAUGCUGAGUACUUCAAAAUUGGAACACUUGCUUCAGCGAAUUAGGUGCUAACUUUUGAGUCAAUGGCUGUCAACAUUUGAAGAUAGAGGGAUUGAAUGCAGUACUUCAAGAAACAAAGAAAUGAAUCUGCAUGAUUAGAAUUUCUGUUUGCUUUAAGAGGUAAGAAUUACAGUAGGUAUAAUCUAGAGGACCAACAAAACCAACUUAAACAAACUGAAUUCACCUUUCCAAAGAUCUCAAGCAAUAAUUGAUUGUUGAGUAUCCAGAUUGAGCAAAACAUUCCAUUGCAUGGAAGUUGAAUUAAGAAACACAUCAUCUUACAAAUGAAUCGAGAGAAGAAUAAGUUACUGAAAUUUGAUUAUCUUACAAGUUCGGGGAGUAAUACAACAGAAUCCACAAUCAUACUCUUAUCAUCUCAAAUAUGAACUACUAAUAAGCACUUUGAUGUCCCCAGUUGCUUCCCUGAUUCUUUUUGCAGACUCUUCCGCAGAUUGUCUGCACCAGUGCACUUCAAUCAAUUCCAGUGUGCCUAUGUCUGCAAAAUCAUACGGGAUUUCCUUGAGGUCUUUGCAAUUUUGCAAGACAAGCCGUUCAAGUUUGGGAAGGUGAUCACAAGUAGCAUUCCAUUGAGAAACGUUCAGAUUGUCUAACUUCAAGAAUUUGAGUUCCUUGAACUGAUCUUCCUCCAUGUCCCAUGUCAGCCCCUCAAAGGCAUCAAGAAGUAAUUUGAGAACUUCCAGGUUGGGUAGUCUCCCAAUUGUUGAGAUAUGACUCCAUGGUAGACGAAACUUUGAAAGAGUCAAUUUCCUCAGAUUGGAAGGGAGAAUGAAUUCCCUGGUAAUAGCGCUUCCAUAGUAAGAUACAUUGAGUGACACCAAAUGAGUUAGAAAAUCUAAUCCUGGAAACUGAUAGGAAUUCUUCGAAGAACCCUGUGGAUGAAAGAAUAUGCAUCUCAGUUUCUGGAGAUUUGGCAACCUCUUUAUUAUUGAUUCUGUAUCUUCACUACAAGAGAGAGAGAGAGACAGGAAAGGCUGACCAAAUCACCCAACUUACAGCAGACUUCAAGCCCUUCAUCAUCCAAUGUGAAAGCAACAUGCAUAUUCACAUGAAGAUGCCUCAACCUUGUCAUGUGCCAAAUAGUAUCUGGUAAGACAACCUGACCACGUAAUCCCUUCAAAACAAAAGUUUCUAGUUUUCGGAGAUUGCCUAUGGAUUGUGGAAUAGUUUGCAUAUAACCAGUGAUUGCCAAAUACCUCAAAUGAACCAGGCAUGUAAUGUCAGCAGGGAAGGUGACACCCAGGUUGAUGCAUUCAAAAUCUAACACCCGCAGAAGUUUGAAGUUGUGCCAAAUGAAUGAGAUGUCAUAAGGACACCUGGGCUCUGAAUCAGCUGAAGGAAAGAAUAUCAAAGAACGAGUACCCAGGCCAAAAGGUCUUGAUUUAAAAAAAUGGAGUCGCUUCAAAAAAAAGCACAAUCGGUAGGCUUCAUAUGUGACAGGAUCAGAAUGAUGGCCAAUUUCAAAACCAAAAUCUGAACUAGGAAAAGAUACAUAUGGCUCAUCAAACCUGGUUACUAGCCGGAAGAAGUUCUGUGCUCUGGCUUUUAACUGACAAAAAUCACGUAACAGAUCGUGCAAGCGACAUGAUUUGACCAUUCCGUUGGAUCUUCUUUUGGAGACUUCCACCAGGCUUCUGCUAAUCAACUCCAUCAAGUAACCCUCGGCAAUACCUUCUAAGCUCUUCAACUCAGAGUCAUGAAUGAAACCUUCAGCAAGCCAAAACCGUAUCAACUUGCUAACAGGAAUAUCCUUGUCUUCAAGGAAAACCCCCAAGUAAAGAAAGCACGGUUUUAGAUAUCCCGGCAAGUGUUUGUAACUCAAUUCUAAGAUUUCCAUGCACCGAGCAUUUGGAUCUUCCAUAACUUCAGCAAUCAAGCUUUUUGCAAUUUUACCCCACGAUUCUGAGCUCUCUUCUAUCCUCUGGAGGAGACCAGAUAUUGCAACAACAGCAAGAGGCAAUCCUUUACACUUUUUGGCAAUUUCCUUACCAACUAGCGACAAUUCUUCAGGACAGCCUUCACCAUGGAAUACUUUCUCUACUAAUAAGGUCCAGCUUUCAUAAUCAGAAAAUAAGCGUAGAGAAUGAGGAUCACUAUCUGGUUCAAUUUGCAAGGCCACAUCACGAAGGCGGCUCGUAAUCAAAAUUCUGCUGCCAUUGGCAUCAUCUGGGAACGAAUUUCUUAACUCAUUCCAAACUCCAGCAUCCCACACGUCAUCCAUAACAAUGAGAAACCUGUUUCUUAGUAAGCACUGACGCAAUUUUAAUUGGAGAUCUUCGUUAGUCAUUUGACGAAUUUCAUCCGUAAGCCCGAGAAUGCCACGUAAAAUCUCCAGCAGCAGUUCUCUUUUGUCAUAUUCUUGUGAAACAGUACACCAUGCACGACAAUGAAAGUGAGACAAAACCUUUUGGCAGUUAAACAGUUUCCAAGCCAUUGUUGUCUUGCCAAUACCGGGCAUUCCCACAAGAGAAACAAUGCCAAACUUUGAGGAUCCCUUGACAAGUUGAUCAGUUAUAGAUUGUUCUUCAUCUCUGGGAUCCACCACCAUUCCAUUGAUUGCCGGUGUAGCAUCCCGUGAUAUCACGUUGGGUGGAACCUGGAUGACGUGUUUGUUAUCUAGGACUUUGGCUUGAGGGGUCGUCAACUGAAUUCUAGAGGCUCGCUUAUUAACAAUUCUUAACUCCUCCAGUAGAUCAUAAACCAAAAAGAAACCUUGCCAUUGAGGAUCGACCUCAAUUGAGUCAAUGACAAACUCAAUUUUAUAAGCAAUAUUGGCAACAUGACCACCAAGAACUUUCACUUCUGGAUAGUCAUCAAUCUCCGACUCUGAGACUUUCAUGAGAAAAGAACCCAGAGACUUGAAAUGUAGAUGAAUUUCUUUUAUGUAAUUCCUGACUGGUUCAAUUGACACAGGAUCAUCGUUCAGCAGUUCCUCUAGGUUUCUGAUGAGAAAUUCAACAAACCCUGUCUUGUAAGUCUUGGGAAAAUCAAACAAUGGAAACUGGGGACUAAUCUCUCUGAGCUUAGACUUGAUAGGAUUCAGCUUAUCUUGCAGUUUAGAGGAUGAGAUGAUCAUAUUGUGGAUGGGUCCUGCCAUCCCUGCAUCAAAUGUUUCAGUUUGUGGGAAGAUCAUGUCCGUGUCCUCUGUCUCCUCCUUUAGCUGGUUGCUGAGAAGUGUGAAAAGAUUAAGGAGCACAAGAAGUGCAAUUUGAUCUUUUCGAUGACCCUCGGAAUUUGCACUCUCAAGUUGUAACUUCUCAAAUAAUGCUUCUGCUUUGAAAACAACAAUGUUAAGAAGCAAUAGGAAAAUUGAGUUUCUCACCGUGGAUUCUGUUAUGCUCUUGGCCUCAAACAACUGACGGAGAGAUGCUACCGUGUAGUCCGCUUGUUUAAUGAAAGCCAAGGCCUUGUUCCAAUAUUCUGCCUCCCCAUGCAGAAGAUUUCCCAAAAAACGUAUCCAUAUUUCUGGCAUCCCCUUGAGCAGAUCUUUAUUUCGGAAAGUGCUCCCUUGAAUGUUACAGUGAAGCAUCCCCUUGAGGAAAAGCUCCGUCUGGAGGAGACAAACAUUUAUACGUAGCUCACCCUUUCGUUCCGUCUGUUUGAGGAACUCCCUCUCUAUGAGCACCGUAUGAAUUUCUGCAAGGAAAUUUGGUAUAGUUUGAUCCUCCUCCUCCUCCUGCUUCAGUUUGAUGAAGGCUAAAAGCUUUAACAGCCCAUAGAUCUCCCCAGAAGAGAUCUCCUUAGAAUAGAUCUUUGGAAUAUCUCUGAACCUCAUUUUAGAGGCAACAUAAUUGCUAUAAUGAGACAUAAAGUCGGGCUUAACUCCUCCCAUUUUUCGGAGAGCUACAAGAAAAUGGAGAUGGAAGUCCACGAACUUGGGAUUAGUUGGAUGAAUCUCAUGUUGCAGAGCCAAUACAGAUUUAGUUACCUGCUUCAUUUCCUCCCUUCUGGUUGUGCCUGCUGUUUUCCUGUCGUUAAUCCGUUGCCUAAGAGUGUGGAUUGCAAUGCGUACCAUCACAGAUGCAACACGAGUUACGAAAUCAUUGAUAACAUUUACGUCAUCACCACCUGCUGCUGCCGCUGCUGCUGGGAAAUCGAGAUCACUGGAUACACCUUCCAUGUAUUCCCCGAACAACCUUAGCUCUUUGCGCCAGGCACCGAUUGGCUCGCUCCAUUUUGUAUCGUCCACAAUAUCGGCCAGAGUGGACACAAAUUGUAACCAAAAAGAAACAUCAGAUGGAGAUUGCAGUCGACAAGACGACCACCCGGAUGAAUCCAAAAGGUGUUCAACAUCUUCUCCGAUCUCUUCGAUCCAUUCGAUGGUUUUAUAGUAAUAAUCAUAGAAAGUUUUGGCAUUUACCGAGGAAAGAAACUUUAUCUGGGUGUUGUUCUUGUUUGUAAUUACAACAUGCCUACCAAUCUCCUCGGCUGCAGCUUCAAUCUUGAAUCCCAUAUUAAGCAGCAUGCGCUCUGCAUCUUCAUCUCUCAUCAGCUUGUGAAUUGCUUCCCAAAUUAACCUCAAAAGCUUCCAAUCUUCCAAGAUGCGAUAGCGUUGACGCCAGUGACCUCUGUUUCCACGCCAAAUUCCACCGACCAUUCCAUUAUUUCUCCGUACAACAUCCAAGAAAAAAACUAUGAUAUCAAAGCUGGAAAUAGCCAUCUCCAGGUCCAGAAUUUUGAUCUCUUACUCGAGCAUACCAGUUCUGUCUGUCAGACUGAUCUGGUAAACACAAAUGCUUUUGAUGUAUGUAUUAGGUGAAAGUUUCACCGUGAAAUGCUAUCCAUGCUUGGCUGAAAUACUCGAGCUCGAUCGAGCAUUUGAUGUUGAACUUGAGUUCGACUCGAUCGAGUGCUCUGUUGACAGAGUUCGACUUGUUAGAGUUCAAAAAAAUUUGGAAUAUAAUAAUAUAAUAAUUAAAUAUUUAAUUAUCGUAACAAAUAAACCUAAAAUAGUAAUUAAUUAUUUUAACAAAUAAACCUAAAGUUAAAAUUUGGAUAACAAUAAUAUAACAAAUAAAUAUUUAACAUAAAACUUGAGUGGAGUGCUCUAUUCACAAAGCUCGAACUCGAUUUGUUAGAGCUUAAAAAAUUUUGAAAAUAAUAAAAUAAUAAUUAAAUAUUUAAUUAUUGUAACAAAUAAACCUAAAAUUGUAAUUUGGAUAAUAAUAAAAUAAUAAUUAAAUAUUUAAUUGAAUACUCAAUAGAAUUCGUCCAGCCUUCAAGUCUUCGUUAUUAUUAAUAUUCGAAUUUGAUUUGAAAACUUAAUUAGGUAACUUGAACUCGAUUCAAACUCGAUCGAUAUUGAUCGAAUUCAAUGGAGCAAUUAAUCGAGCUGCUAGCGAGCUCGAGUCAAGCUGCUCAAUUAAAUCUUACCCUUAUCCCCAAUGGACGAGGGCCUCACAAUUUGAGGCAAUAUCCAAUUCGGACAAAUCCGGUCAAGAUCAAAUUGUGAUAACGAGACAGCCACGAUUUACUAUUUAGUGGGUCGACAGCGCAGUAUCAAUUCGCAUGGGGAGGGAAAAAUCAAAAUUGAGGGCUAAUGAAAAGACCUCGUUUGUAGAAUUCAUUGUCCUCUCAUUAGACAUAGAGGUGAAGAAUCAAAGAUGAAGACUACUCAUAGCUAAGAAAUUAUCCAACAUAGGGAGAUAAAGUCUCAGAUUCUUCAACUUUUUGGGAAGUGAAAUUUUGCAGUCCUAACAAAUUCGAGAUUUAUUGAGGCUUUGCUUGUUGGUUCAUAAUUUAACUAAAAAAAUUUUUUCUCAUAUCAUCAAAGUAUCAAGUAUGUUCUUGGGUUUUCAGAAAAUUCAUGGAUAUUGGAAAUUUUUUUCUUCGUUUAUUGUAAUUACAAGGGGACACAAAAGGCAUUUGUUUUUUUCCAUACAUGUGAAGAAUUCUCAAUACUUAAUGACUGCUAUAAGAAGAAAAUUAGCAAAAAUCCUAACUCUCUAAUUAUCCAAAUCGAAUGGUAGAACUGUUAUGAGUUCGCCCAGUGAAAACAUUUUGAUCGUGAUGUGAAUUGCUUUUAGAUACAAAACUUUGGAAGAAACUUGUUCGUUGCUUUAUUCGAUUUUGGUUAGCUUAUAAGUAGUUGUUGGGCUUGGGCAUUCACACCACUGGUUAUCAUUUAUGCACGCAACUGCUCUGGCCGCCAACAUUUCACGAUAGAGAAAUAAUCUGCAGUUCUGUAAGAAACACUGAUAUUGAUAUCUGAAACCGGAAUUUCAAUUUGCUAAAUGCAGUUAAAGAGUUUUACUAGAUAUAUUCUCGAGUAUGAAAACCAGCUUAAAGCAAAACGAAAUCAAUUUUCUAAAGAUCUAAAACAAAAAUCUAGCAGAUUACUUUAAAGCCAACCAAAAUCUGCAUGAUUAGAAUUUCAGUUUGCUUCAGUAGGUAUAAUCUAGAGGACCAACAAAACCAACUUAAACAAAUUGAAUUCACCUUUCCAAAGAUCUCAAGCAAUAAUUGAUAGUUGAGUAUCCAGAUUGAGCAAAACAUUCCAUUGCAUGGAAGUUGAAUUAAGAAACACAUCAUCUCACAAAUGAAUCGAGAGAAGACUAAGUUACUGAAAUUUGAUUAUCUUACAAGUUCGGGGAGUAAUACAACAGAAUCCACAAUCAUACUAUGAACUACUAAUAAGAACUUUGAUGUCCCCAGUUGCUUCCCUGAUUCUUUUUGCAGACUCUUCUGCAGAUUGUCUGCACCAGUGCACUUCAAUCACUUCCAGUGUACCUAUGUCUGCAAAAUCAUUCGGGAUUUCCUCGAGGUCUUUGCAAUUUUGCAAGACAAGCCGUUCAAGUUUGGGAAGGUGAUCACAAGUAGCAUUCCAUUGACAGAUGUUCAGAUUGUCUAACUUCAAGAAUUUAAGUUCCUUGAAGUGUUCUUCCUCCAUGUCCCAUAUCAGCCCCUUAAAGGCACCAAGAAGUAAUUUGAGAACUUCCAGGUUGGGCAGUCUCCCAAUUGUUGAGAUGCGGCUCCAUGGUAGGUGGAAGUUUGAAAGAGUCAAUUCCCUCAGAUUUGGUGGGAGAACGAAUUCACUGGUGAUUGCUCUCCCAACGUAAAAUACAUUGAGUGACAUUAAACGAGUUAGAGAAUCCAGUUUUGGAAACUGACCACAAUUCUGGGAAGAAUCCCGUGGGUGAAAGAAUAUGCAUUUCAGUUUACGAAGAUUUGGCAACCUCUUCAUUAUGUUCUCUGUAUCUUCACCACAAGAAAGAGAGAGACGUGAAAAGCUAACCAAAUUUCCCAACUCACAGCAGCCGCCAAACUCCUUAUCACCCAACUUGAAAGCAACAUGCAUGUUCACAUGAAGAUGCCUCAAACUUGCCAUGCUCCACAUAUUGUCUGGUAAGACAACCUGACCACGUAACCCCUUCACAACAAAAGUUUCCAAUUUUCGGAGAUUGGCUAUGGAUUGUGGAAUAGAACGCAUAUACCCACUAACCGCCAAAUACCUCAAAUGAACCAAUAGUCCUAUUUCAACAGGAAAGGUAAUACCAAUGUUGAUCAUUUCAAAAUCCAACGUGCGCAGAAGUUUGAAGUUGUGACAAAUGAGUGAGAUGUUGUAAGGACAUCUAGGCUCUGAAUCAGUUGAGGGAAAGAAUAUUAUAGAACGGGUGCCCAGCCCAAAAGGCACUGAUUCAAAAAAAUGAACUCGCUUCAAAAAUAUGCACAACCGAUAGGAUUCAUAUGUUACGUGAUCAGAAUAAUGGCCAAAAUCGAAUUCAAAACCAAAAUCUGAGCUGGGAAAAGAAGCAUAUGGCUCAUCAGACCUGGUUAUUAACUUGAAAAAGUUCUCUUCUUUGGCUUUUAACUGACAAAAAUCACGUAACAGAUCAUGCAAGCGACAUGAUUUGACCGUUCCGUUGGAUCUUCUUUUGGAGACUUCCACCAGGCUUCUGCUAAUCAACUCCAUCAAGUAACCCUCGGCAAUACCUUCUAAGCUCUUCAACUCAGAGUCAUGAAUGAAACCUUCAGCAAGCCAAAACCGUAUCAACUUGCUAACAGGAAUAUCCUUGUCUUCAAGGAAAACUCCCAAGUAAAGAAAGCACGGUUUUAGAUAUCCCGGUAAGUGUUUGUAACUCAAUUCUAAGAUUUCCAUGCACCGAGCUUUUGGAUCUUCCAUAACUUCAGCAAUCAAGCUUUUUGCAAUUUUCCCCCACGAUUCUGUGCUCCUUUCGAUCCUUUGGAGGAGACCAGAUAUUGCAACAACAGCAAGAGGCAAUCCUUUACACUUUUUGGCAAUUUCCUUACCAACUAGCAACAAUUCUUCAGGACAACCUUCACCAUGGAAAACUUUCCCUACUAACAAGUUCCAACUUUCAUCAUCAGAAAAUAAGCGUAGAGAAUGAGGAUCACUAUCUGGUUCAAUUUGCAAGGCCACAUCACGAAGGCGGCUUGUAAUCAAAAUUCUGCUUCCAUUGGCUUCAUCUGGGAAUGAAUUUCUUAACUCAUUCCAAACUCCAUCAUCCCACACGUCAUCCAUAACAAUGAGAAACCUGUUUCUUAGUAAGCACUGAUGCAAUUUUAAUUGGAGAUCUUCGUUAGUCAUUUGACGAAUUUCAUCCGUAAGCCCGAGAAUGCCACGUAAAAUCUCCAGCAACAGUUCUCUUUUCUCAUAUACUUGUGAAACAGUACACCAUGCAUGACAAUGAAAGUAAUACAUAACAUUUGGAUGGUUAAACACUUUCCAAGCCAGAGUUGUCUUACCAAUACCAGGCAUUCCAAUAAUGGAAACAAUGCCACGCCGUGGGGAUCCUUUGAUGAGUUGAUCAAUCACAUAUUGUUCUUCAUCUCUGAGAUCGACCACCAUUUCAUUGAUUGCUGCCCGUGACAUCAUGUUGGGUGGAACCUGGAUGAUGUGUUUGCUACUUAGGACUCUGGCAUCCGAGGUUGUCAACUGAAUACUAGAGGCUUGUUUACUAACAAUCCUUAACUCCUCUAGCAGAUCAUAAACCAAAAAGAAGUGCUGCCAUUGAGCAUCAACCUCAAUUGAGUCAAUAACAUGCUCAAUUUUAUAUGCUAUAUUGGCAGCAUGAACACCAAAAUCUUUCAGUUCUGGAUUGUCCUCAAUAUCCGACUCCGAAACUUUCAUGAGAAAGGAACCCAAUGACUCGAAAUGUAGAUGAAUCUCUUUUAUGUAAUUCCUGACUUGUUCAAUUGAUGCAGGAUCAUAUUUCAGCAGCUCCUUUAGGUUUCUGACGAGGAAAUCAAUGAACCCUGGCAUGUAAGUCUUGGGAAUAUCAGAAAAUGGAAAUUGGGGACUUAGCUCUCUAAGCUUUGCCCUGAGAUGAUUCUGCUUAUCUAGCAGCUGAGAAGAUGACAUGAUCAUAUUGAUGAUGGGUCCUGUCAUCCCUGCAUCAAAAGUUUCAGUUUGUGGGAAGAUCAAGUCCAUGUCCUGUGUCUCCUUCUUUAGCUGGUUGCAGAGAAGUGUGAAAAGAUUAAGCCGCGCGAGUAGUGCAAUUUGAUCUUUCCGAUAAGCCACGGAAUUUGCUGCCCUACUACUCUCAAUUGAUAACUUCUUAAAUGAGGCUUCUGCUUUGAAAGCAACAAUGUUAAGAAGCAAUAGCAGAGUUGAGUUCCUCACCGUGGGUUCUGUUAUCUUCUCGGCCUCAAAUAACUGAUGGAGAGAUGCGACCUUGUGGUCCACUUGUUGAAUGAGAGCCGCGGUCUUAUUCCCAUAUUCUGCAUUAUACUCUGCCUUUCCAUGAGGAUGUUCUCCCAAACAUUUUAUCAAUUCUUUUGUCAUCCGAUCAGCAUCAUCUUUAGCACGAUUGAGCAGAUCUUUAAUUUGGAAAGUGCUCCCUUGAAUGUUAGGGUGAAGCAUCCCCUUGAGGAAAAGCUCCGUCAGGAGAAGACAAACAUUUAUACGCAGCUCAGAAGGUCUAGGCUCAGCUUUUAGCAGCGUCUGUUUGAGAGAUCCCGUCUCCAUGAGCACCGAAUGAACUUCUGCAAAGAAAAUUGGCACCGUUUGAUCCUCUUCUUCCUCGUCCUCCUCCAGUUUGGUGAAGACUAAAAGCUUUAACCGCUCAUAGAUAACUCGAUAAUAGUUGUCUCCAAGAUCUCCGAUCCUCACUCUAGGGACAACAUAAUAGCGAUAACGAAAGCAAAAAUUGGGCUCAACUCCUCCAAUUUUAUGGAGAGCUACAAGGAAAUGGAGAUGGAACUCCAUGAAUCCGGGAUUAGUAGGAUCAAUCUCAUGUUGCAAAUUCACUAGAGGUUUUGUUAGAUUAAUGAUUUCUUCCUCUUUGAUUCGGUCAUUCGUUUUUCUGCAGUAAAUCUGGCACUUAAAAGUGUGGAUUGCAGUGCGUACCACCACAGAUGCAACACGAGUCACGAAAUCAUUGAUAAUAUUUACAUCAUCACCACUUGCUCCUGCUGCUGCUGCUGCUGGGAAGUCGAGAUCCCUGAAUACAUCUUCCAUGUAAUUCCGGAUCAAGCGUAGCUCUGCCACCAGGGCAUUGACUGGGUCGCCCAACCGCAUACUCGCCACAAUCCCGGCUACAGUGGCUAAAAAUUUUAACCAAAAAGAAACAUCGGAUGGUGAUUUCAGUCGACACGACGACCUCCCGGAUAAAACCAAAAGAUGUUCAACAGCUUCUCCGAUCUCUUCGAUCACAUUGCAGGUUUUCUUGUAAUAAUCUUGGAGAAUUUCGUCGUCCACCAGGGAUAGCACUUCCCGGCCAAUCUCCUGGGCUGCAGCUUCGAUCUUGAAUCCCAUAUUAAGCAGCACCCGCUCUGCAUGUUCAUCUCUCACCAGCUUGUGAAUUGCUUCCCAAAUAAACCUCAAAAACUCCCAAUCAGAGAUUCUUUCACGUACGAAUGCACCACCAAUCGGUAACUUACGCAAGAAAAAACCUAUGAUAUCCCAGCUGGGAAUAUCCAUUUCCAGAUCCAGAAUUUUGAUCUCUUACUUGAGCAAGCAUACCAAGAUCUGUCUAUCAGACUGGUCUGUCUGUGUAAACGAGAAAUUCUUCUAAUGGAGUAGCAGCUAUGCAAGAGACUCCCCGACGCAUCGGGGGCCUCACAAUUUGAGGCACUUUCCAUUUCAAACAAUUUCACGGCCAAGAUUAGAUUACUGUAAUGGGACGGUCAGGAUGGGGCCACGACAUGGUUUUUAGUUGAGCCCCACAAAACAGUACCGUUUCGUGUCCGACAAAGAAAAGUGAAAAUUAAGGACUAAUAGCAUGACCGCAUUUGGAGAACACGUAGUUGGGAUUUUGGACCCUUCCGCUUACUGUAUUCAAAAAAAAAAAAAAACUCUAUAAAAUUUUUAAUGAAACCCAACAUAGAGAAAUAAGGUCCCAACUUCUUCAACAUUUUGGAAAGUGAAAAUUUAUGCGAUCCUACAAAUUCCAGAUUUAUUGAAGUUUUGCUUGUUAGUCUUUUUUUUUUUUUUUCUUUCAGUAUAAAUAGAAAGUUUGAAUUGAAAAUCUUUCCCUCACGCUCUUUCGUUUGAAAUUAUCUAAUUCAACUCUCCUCCUUCCGAAUCACCACCGCUCUACAUGUUGGUUGAUAAUUAAAAAAAUUUUUUUUCCUCAUAUCAUGAAAGUAUCAAGUAUGUCCUUGGAUUUUUAGAAUAUUCAUAGAUAUUGGAAUCUUUUUUGUCUUUGUUUGUUGUAAUUACAAGGGGAUACAAAAGGCAUUUGCUUUUUUCCAUACUUGUGCAGAAAUUCUCAAUAUCUAAUGACUGCUAUAAGAAGAAAAUUAGCAAUAAUCAUAACUCUCUAAUCAUCCAAAUCGAAUUGGUAGAUUAGGGCUGUUAUAAUUUCUUAAUUGGCAAAUAAAACUUUUGGUUUGAAUUAGUCUUGUUCAAGAACAAUUUAGAAAUCGUUAUGCCAGAACAAUUUAGAAAUCGUCAUGGCAGUGUUGUGUGUAAGAGUAUGUAAAAACACUUUAAAGAAAAAUUUUCCGUUUUGAUCAUUAUUUAGCUGCUGUAAAUAUAUUUGAUUUUUGAAUAAUUGCAAAACAAUGGAUGGCUGAGUUGUUAUGAGUUAGCCGAUUGAAAACAUUUUGAUCAUAUAAUGUGAAUUACUUUUAGAGACAAAACUUUGGAAGAAACUUGUUUAUUGCUAAUCCGAUUUUGGCUAGUUAAUAAGUAGUUGCUGGACAUUCACAUCACUGAUUAUCGUUUAUACAUUUAAGAGUGAAUUCAAUAUUGAUGUCUUUAGCUUACAACCAAUUGCAGGAGAUUAACCAAUUGCAGGAGAUUUGCAAGUUGAUUACUAUUAUUACAAGUUGUAAACCAUUAUUACUUUGGUUGGUUUGCAAGCAAUUCUUGGACAUUCAAAUUAGCUGAUGCUGUUUUGACACCCAAGUGUUAAAGGCAUUAUUUGGUUGGUUUACAAGCAAUUCCAUGUAGGUUUUGAUAAUACAAGAUUAACGAGGGUGAUAAUUGUUUUUGCAAUACGGGGGAUGAACAGCAUUGGGAAGCAGAUAAUGGAUAUUCAAUGAUUUUUUUUUAUAUGAAUGAUGUAAAUUAAUUGUGAAACAUAAGACAUCCUGUGACAGCCCCACCUUCCGCUAAGGCGAACCAAAGGGUUCGGCGGACUGCCUGUCAAACUCUCAUCAGGACUACGGAGUCGAAUCACACCAACCCUAUAUCACGCGCAAUAGAACCCAAAGAAAACAAACAAUUGGAGACCACCAAGAUAAAAUAUAACUUACCAAACCAUACGGUGAUACGGAACUUCAAUGAAACACCUCAACGAAAGGAAAACGAACGAAAAUGGCCACGUCACAAUCCGGCCGGAAGUUGGCCGGAUUAAAGGCAGUGGCUAACCCAAAAUUUUUCAAAUGCCGCGCUCGCCCGAUCGUCCAACGGUUACAAGAAACAUUCACCAAAGCCAUAGAAGAAUAACAUCUCAAAGGAAUACACUUAAAAAAAAAAAAAACAAGGUUAAAUACUUAUUACAUUGGAGUCUUGAACAAAUUAACUAAAGUACAAGCCAAAGUAUUCAUACUGUUCAAAAUACAAUUAGGGUUUCGGUUGCAAAAGAGCUUAACAAAAUAACCUAUACACUAGCUCGACCCUUUCUUCCAAAACCAUGAUUUCAAAGUUUGUCCCCUGUAAGGAAAACAAAAAUAACGGGAAGAGGGUGAGGUUACACUCAAUGAGGUACCAAAAUAAUAACAGUCAAGAAUCAUGGAACUUCAUGUUCAAUUAGUCACAUGUGCAUAUCAAAUAGGAAAAUAAACAAACACUUUAGAUAGAAAGGAUACAGGUGGUUCUCGGGAGCCCAAAGUUCCCAUUGCAUUAUUUGAUCCAAACCCGUUGACUCUCCGUCAACGUAUAAAGAAUAACCCUAUCCGUAGACCCCACUUUACACCAAAUUUUGUCCACCAAACAUACCCCUUACCGGGCCAGAACACCUCAACAGAAACAGAAGUGGUAAUACUCGAAUAUACUGAAAUUCCAGAGUCUCCAAUACCCAAAAACUUUCCAGAAACAGACUACCGUAACUCGUUAUCUAAUCGACCAGACCCUUGCCGGCUCGACUCGAGUAACUAACCACAGGUUUUGAACUCAAAAAUCACAGAAGGGUCGUGGGAUACAAGCCUCCAGACAACGUCAGUACAGACUCAGAUACAGAUAACAGAUUCAAGUAUACAUAGUAAAUAGGCAUACAGAACAAGAGAAUGAGUGUGAUAAAGUACACCCUCGUCUCGAACAGAAUAAACAGAUAGUACAGUCAUUCAAAUCAUAGAUUUCAUGUACAGAAAUCCAAUUAAGCAAUAAAUGAGGGGAGUGGUACACUCACCAAUUCGAGCAAAAAUAACUUCAAGGGUUCCCUCCCAAAGUAUGCUUUAAUCACCAAGAAACCCUAAAAUAACCAAGGCAAAACAGUUAUGAUUUCCACAUCCACAAACUCAGGGAACGGAUUACACAAUUUAGGCUCGACUCCGAGUCAUAUGCCUAACCAAGUUUAAUUACUACUGCAAGGAUACAAAAAUGUGAUUUUGGACGAAAAGGUAGCAUAAGGACCUAGGAACACUAACAACCCAAAAGCCCCUUCAUUUCUACCAAGAAUCCACUCACACUUGAAGGAGCCAACUUCCCCCAAAAAAUUGGACAGCAUUUCCUUUAAAUUUUCUUACUUUUCCAUCCUACAAUCCACACCAAAUUUGAUUUCAAACCAACCACAAUUGCACAUACGAUUCAUAGGCAAUAAAACACAUCUAAUAGGGCCACAAUACCCAUCAAUUUGAGCCAAUUAAUAGCUCCAAAAUCAAUCACAAUUGAGCUCCACAUUCAUCAAAGAUAGUUUCCGUGCUCAAGUCCAAGCCUUAGGUUACAAAUAUCAUGUCAAACAAAGGAAAUUCUAUAAAUAUCAAGUUUCACGCACCUUUCGGCAUGAUAACCACAACUAAAGCUACACUUAUCGGAUUGAGACGAAUCUUAUGUCGUUUCGAAGCCAAGACAUAUACUUACAUUUAUUAUGAAGACCUCUAAAGCCAAAUCAUGCAUUUUCAUGGUCAAAAAUCGAAAUCUCAGAGAGAACAGAAAACUGUCCGUGAAACAAGGCUUGUGGCCAGUCAAGGGUAUUUUGGUCAUUUCACAAGCUACAGUACUCUGAUUGAACUGAAAUUUUACCAGUAGUUAGCUAACUCAAUUACCUACAACUUUCAUGUUUUGAGCAAGGGCUGAUUUGGCCUCCCUCAAGGAUGAACAUACAGUGCAAAACCAGGACAGAUUACUACAAAUGGAAACCCUAAGCUGGAAUUUUACUCCACAAGCUGAAACUUUCCGUAGACAACCAAAAUUAGCAUAGAUUAGCUUCAUUUUACACAUAACAAAGCUAUCAUUCCAUGACCAAUCAUUAAUCAUCACAUGAGGGUAGAAAAAUCUCCAAUAAAUCUGAAAUUUACCAAACCCUAACUCAAGCCAUGAACUUUCUCACAAAACUACCUAUUUAACAACUAUAAUCCACUAAUAUGCAAUUAUUAAAAGUAAAGAGGGAUUUUCUUGGCAAGUUACCUUAUACCCACAAGAAAGAUGGUAGCUUAGGCUUCUUCCUCCCAAAAUAGCUCCACAAACACCUUGGAAACUACCUUAACUAGCACUUUUAUGGAGUAGUUUGCGAUUUAAUCGGUUAGAACUCAAGAUUUGGACAAGAAAUUGAAGUGGAAGAUGAAGAACUCUCUUGGUUUUUCUCUCAAUAUUUUCGGCCAAAGGAGACAAGAAAGUGAAGCAAUUUUUGGUCAAAAAUCUGAUUUUAGUAAAGUUAAUAACCUUGGUCAAAAAUCCAACUUCCAAUGAUUUUGUGACAAAUGACACCUUAGGGUUCAAAUCUCAUCCUUUUGUCUACCAAUCAUUAAUCUAUCUAGCUAACCUCUAACUAUCUUCUAACACCUUGUACAGUAAUAUCCCUUUAUACAAAACUUCAACUAAUCAUCAAAAAUUUAUCGCACUUAGCACACUAGUGGGUCACGCGCCAAUAAUACACUUCAAACUUAACAUGAACUAUCUUAUACUAGGAAAAUGAGUUAAAAACUAUACUCACUCAUAAAAAUCUUUGGAAAAUUGAUAUAGUAAAAUAAAGUAAAGAAAAUGCAUGCAAAAUAAAUAAAAUAAUAUAAUAUAAACUAAAAAAAUUUUACGGGUCCUCACACAUCCAUUUACCAUGGAUUUGGAGCCCUCCGGUUUAAAUCAGUUGUGAAUAUCUAACAACAUUUGGUGUGAACUCGUAUAAUUUCAGUGAAAUUAUAAUUUUUUUACACAAAUUUAGUUGUAUAAAUCACGAGCUCAAGUUUUACACUAAAGUUGUAUGAAUUUAUACCAAAUACAAUAGUAAUUACACAACUAAUUUGAAUUGGAUAACAACUCAAUUUGUAAAGUCUCGAAUCCUGUUUACCAGUACAAGGAUAUGGUUCUUUUGGUUAACGUUAAAUUGUAAGUUGUUGACAUUCAAAAGAGGAACUAGAUGGUGGCACUGGAGCAAUGUAGAUGAAUCUUUUUUGUUACACUUGCAAGUUUAAAACCCAAAAGAUGUGCAGUCUGAACCAAAUUGUCUCGAAGAGAAGAUCGGCAAACUAAACCUACUAGGAAAAAAAAAAAAGAAUUAUUCUAACAAGUAUCCAAUAGAUACUCAUUAAUACAGUCAAAUUGCAUUCAAUCUACCAUAUCAAUGUAUAUAUUAACAAUUAUUACCUUCUCUUACAUUUUGACACUUUCCCUGUUAAUAUUACUUUAACAAUUAUUAUCAUCCCUUAUGUUUAUAUACUUUUUCUAAUUAACUUUACUUUUCAAAAAAAUUUAAUGCCUAAAAUAUAUAUUAAUGAGUGCCCCGUUAGACAAAAUAAAAAAUAAAUAUUUAAUGGAAUACAAAAGUAUGAUUUAAUGGACAAAAAGUUAACUGAAUCACAACUAAACCACUUUAAAAAAGUUUUUUCACUUUUGUAACUUCCCCAUUAUCUGUAGAGUGAUAAGGGAAAAGUAUCAUAAUAUGUGUGCUAAGUAGGUAUCUAUACAAUAAUAAAGGAAGAAAGGUGGGAGUUGGGGUAAACAUUUUGCGUCAUUUUUUAAACUUUCAAUUGCCCUGAAAAUAUUAAUUUUUACCUUAACCACCUAAUCACAUUUGCUAAUAUAAUCUCUCAUAACUCCCAAUGAUAAUGAUAAAUUAAUUUUUUUUGUUAUAAUUGGAAAGUCUCGAACCCGACAUCUCACAUAACUCUCUUAAAUAUUGUAACUACCAAAUUAAUUAUGACUGUAUUAAAGAAAAAAAUUACUGAAGAAUUUAUAUAAAAUUUAAAGUUUGUAAAAAUAAAAAUAAUAUAUUCAUAAAAAUUAAUAAUUAUUUCUAAACUGCACACGCAUUGGGUGCUUUCUUAAUAAGAAGUGUAUAACUUCUAUCAAAUUAUUAUGAAGGGAAUGAAUUAUGAUUAUGCAUUAAAUCAUGCACGAAAAUGUACUAGUCUCUGUAUUGAAUGUAAUCACGCAAAGUAUGUAAUUACUUUUAACCAUGAUUGUACAGAACUUUCUCCUUCAUUAUUAAAUUGCCUUUUCAAUACUUUCCCAAAAAUAUAUUCCUUGGUUUUUUGUUAAAUAACAUGCCGCCUUGGUCCAUCCCAUCCCAACUUUAGCCUUUUCUUUUUCUUUCUUUUCCUUCCAUCAAUAAUUCCCAACUCUAGCUUAAAGCCGCACUAAUUUUCAAAGGAAAAUGAUAUUCAGUCCGAUCGGAUCAAGCCGUCCAGCAGGCAUGAAAUUAUGAAAUUGUAACUUUUAAGGCUUGAAGAGGACAUGCUGGCCGUGGUAGCUGGAAAGAGGAACAACUAAACUAUACUCUUGUAAGCAUUUCGUUAAAUUUUCGAUGGUAUACUACAAAGAAAAUUAUGUUGUCAAUUUCUCAGGAACGUGAAAAGCAGCAUGAGGCAAAUCUUUUUAGAUGUCUGGAUCAGAUAAUUGCAUCAUCUGUAAAACCCUGGAUUUUUGGGACUCAUUUUCAUUAUCUUGCCCAAUUAAAUUAAAUGGUAAUUUACCCUUGGUAAAAGCAAAAAUAAUUGCAGGUUAGGUUAAAGGGUUAAUUGAGGGAUAGGAUGGGAUAAGAAAGGGUAAUAGUUUACAACAGUUAAAACUCAUAUCUAAAUCACCUACUAGUGGGUGGUUAUUAGGGUUUAGCAUACCUAUCAGAACAACAAAGAGAAAAAAAAAUAACAUCUCUCCUACCUUUCAUUAUCUGCCUCCCCUAGAGCAAAAGCUGUCAGAGAGUAGAGAAGGAGAAGCAAGCGACACCGUCAAUCGAUCAGACGACUAGGCCCCUAAACCUGUAAGUCCUAAAUUCAUGUGAAACUUCUCUUUUAAGUUCUAUUAGUCGGAUUAAUUAUUCUAAAGAUUUUACGGAUAUGUAUUAUGUUAUAUAUGGAGAUAUAUGCUUGUAUAUGAGAUUUAGGAGGAUUCGUAUCUGAAUUAGUAGGAUUAAGGUAUUAAAUUUUUAUUAUGGGAUGAAUACGAUUUACCGAAAUCUAUUGGAAAGUUAUUAUGAAAAAAAAAAAGAAGAAAAGUUGUUGAAGCCAAGCUUCAACGAUGCAAAAAAAAAAAAAAAGGAGAAUAGUCUCCAGCAAGUGGCUGGCGACAUGGAUCAAGUAGGAAAGGUUGGCCGAAAAAAAAAAAAAAAAAAAAAAAAAGAGUCGCCAGCAAGUGCUGGCGACAGAGACAAUUAACAAAGGUUGGCCAAAAGGUAAAGGAAAAGAAAAAUAGCGGAAGUAGGGUCCCCUCUUUUCACUAGCUAAAGAAGGAAAAAAUAUAUAUAUAUAUAUUAUGAAUAAAAGAAAAUCGUAAUAAAAAUAAUUUAAAAAAUAUAUAUAUAUAUGGCAAGUAUACUUGGGUCAAAAUAUAAUACAGGUUUAGUGAAUGUUCAGAAGAUAAAUUUUAAAUAUAACUAACUCACCUUUAUAACUUAUCAUGGGUAUUAAAUUUCAAAACCCAAGCUAAAAAUAAUUUUUAGAGUUGCAAGAUUUAGUCAUCUAAGUUUAUACUUAAUUGAUUAAGUCUAAAAUAAUUAAAUAGAAAUCUAAAAUAUCUUAAUCUAACCUUACUAGAUCAAUUUGUACAAUGUAGCAUAAGUCCUAAAUUGUUGGACGAAACGUGUAAAAUCGUAAUAAUGAUAAUAAUAAUAAUGAUACUAAUGAUAACACUAAUAGUAAUAAUAAUAAUAAUAACAAUAAUAGUAAUAAUAAUAACAACAUAGAUAUAGGUGAAGUAAAUUAAAGAUAUAAACAAAAAUUAAAUGAAAAUAUAAAUACAAGUGGAAUAAACUAAGACAAUAAUUAUAAUAAUAAAUCAAUAAAUACACAUAUAGACAUAAAUAAUAAUAACAUCUACACAUGCACAAAAAAAUGGAAGUAAAGCAAAGGAUAAUAGUAACUAAUUUACAAAUAUAUAUAAAUGGUUACAAAAUAAAGUAGCGAUGACGAGGACGACAAUAAUAAUAAUGAAUAAUUAUAAAUUAUAGAUAUGUAUAAUAAGAUAAUAGUCAAGAUAAUAAACAUGAUUAGGAAUAAUUACUUUCUUUUAAAAUUAUAAAACUUUACAAAAAGACGAACUUUCCAAAUUAAGAAACUUUCUAAAAAUAGAAACUUUCUAAAAAUGGAAAUCGUCCAAUUUAGGGGAAAUGCUGUUAGGGUUCAUACAAUGGUCUAAACAUGAAUCUUCGACUUACUCAGAGUUCGUAUAUUAUGUAUUUAUAGGAAGUAACAAAUUAGGAAGUCUAUGCAUUUGAUAUGUACGGUACCAGUUUAAGAGACCUAAGGUAGUUCCACUCGAGCAGCCAGAUGAAGGUAGAUGGUACUUACCCUUCUGAGAUUUCAAAGGUGCAAAAAUGAAAGUUUUGUUUCAAUCUUAUUUUGUUGUGUUGACUCGAAAUAUAUUUGAUUAAAUGCUUUACUUGGAUAUUUGUGAAGGUUAUAUUUUUACUAUAUAAAAAUGGACCAUGUGACUUAUUUGAAAUGUUUUGAUAUGUUAUUAUAUACCAAACGAGUUGAAUCUUUUAUGAAAUCAAAGAUUUAUGUAUAUGACGUGUGGAAUGAAUUUUUGACAAGUAAAGCUCAAAACAGUUAUGGAAUAGAUGAUAGGGGUUAUAAUCCUGUCUAAUCGUCAUGGUAGCCUGGUAUAAAGUUCGGCCGAUUGACAAGAUCAUGGUAGCCUGGUAUAGAGUUCGGCCGAUUGACAAAGCCAUGGUAGCCUGGUAUAAAGUCUGGCCGAUUGGCAAGGUCAUGGUAGCCUGGUAUAAAGUCCGGUCGACUGACCCAUGUAUGAAAGAGGCCAAUCGGUAGUCAUGAAACCUAUUGGUCGCCCACCUAGAAGGGGUUUAAUCUCUAGAUUGAGUACUCAGUAGCCGGUCAUCACAUGUACUUGUUAUGAGCUAAUAUGAAAUGAUUUAUGAGUUAAUAUGAAAUGAUUUAUGAACUGAUGUAAAAUGAGACUUAUGAAUGGAUUUAUGAACUGAUAUGGAAUGACUUAUGAAUGGAUAUGAAGAGACUUGUGAAUUGAGACGAAACGAUUUAUGAUUGAAUGAUUUUCCACGUUCAUUUAUCAAUAAGAUGCUUUUAAAUUGCUUGCCACUUGUUACUACUGAUCGUUUUAUAAACGAUGUUACUUUCAAAAUUAUGGAUGUGAUCGACACACGCAAAGGAUUUGAUUUCUAUCUAUAUAUAUGUAUCUGAUAGAGCCGUUAUUUGGCACGUUUUGCAGUGUUAUUUUGUCCUAAUUUUGGCUAUUUACUGUGCUAAGUACUGAGGUUUAACUUAUAUUUCAUAUUUGUAUGAAUUAUAGGUGGCCGGCAUUAAAAAUGAUCUCUUGAGGCAAAUUUACAGAAGAUCCUUCAUCUCAGAGCGUGGCCACGCCUUAAAAGGUAGACGUUACCGAAAAGUCGGACCCUGGUCCACGUGAACCGCGAGGAGCAUGGGAUUAAAACUCCAAAAGGCUAGCUUUUGCUUCAAUCAAUUGGGUCAGACGUGACUUGGCUCCUGGUGGCUUCAAUUAAAAAGAAACUCCAAUGAGAAUGAGGAAAUUAGGUCCACAUGGACCAGCUACGCGGGAUAAAAACUCCAAUGAAGAGAAGAGCUUUGCUCCGCGUGAAUUUCCCCUGCGGCGCUAUAUAAGACAACAAGAAAAGGGACCCGGGGGGUGCUACUUUUAGCUUUAGAUUUACUUCUGCAAGAUUUGUGAGACGUUUGCUUUUUCUUUCUUUCUUCCCUACGGGAGUUUGAGUUUUUCCUUUUCCCAGGCGCUAGACGUCCUUGCCCCUUUUGACUUUUCAUUGGAUAAUUUCUGCGUAGCUUUUGGCUUGUACUGGCGGCUUCAACACGAAGCCAGAACCACGCGAGCUUCAUCGUGAGAGCUUUUGUCUCUUCUUAGUAGAUAAUUUAACUUGCGGCUUUGGCUUUGCGUUACUUUAUUUCCUCCAACCUCUUCGGCAAUUAAUUGAAUGAAUUCAAUUAAAUCACGUGGGAUCGACACGAUAUGGAGCGGCUAAUUUUCUCCUCUACCCAAAGGUUGACGCGAAGGCGCCGUCUAUAAUAUCUGUGAGAUCUAAUCGAAUCUUCAUUAUUUCUUUCAAUUUAUUGCUAUUCGUGCGUUUCCUGAAUUAAUUGUUCAUGGGUAUUGUAUUAAUUGAAUAUCAACGGUCGGGUAUUUGAUUUAAUUUAAUAGCCUACUGCCACGUUAAUUAAAUAGAAUCCGUAAUUGUUCAUUUAGUUAACACCCCGUGGCAACCACCAUAAUUGGCUUUAUGAUGGGGAAACGCAAGAUCUAGCUUAAAUAAACCCUCUUAGCGUGUUUAUUGGUUAGGGUUGGGUUCUUCUAGCUUUAAUGCAAUUGGGUAAUUAAAUUCCUAUGGUCGUACCUAGGGUUGUUAUCUGGUUAGGGAAGCAGUUAAUGGUCGUACCUUAACUGUCGAAAAAGUAAAGAAGAACUGGUUGUCAGAGCUUAUUGAUAACUAUAACCAACCUAGUGAUGAAUGGAUGAAAUACCUUUGGAUCGAUGAGCAUUUAAUUGGACCGUGCCUGAGCAGUUGAAUCUUUGGGUAGAAUUUUAUUAAUUGCUAUUUUUAGUGAAUUGUGCUUUGUGAGUUGGUUUUGAAUUUAGUUCGCUUUAUUUUUAUUUUAAUUGUUUGCCUCCCAUUGAAAAUCCCCCAAUUCCAUUCUACUAAUUUGGAAAGAAAUAAUUUCCUACCCGCUCCCUGUGAAAUCGAUCCUACUUGCCAUUGUACACAAAAGUAAUACUCUUACAAACUAAUCUGGUAUAUCGGAUCAAGCAAACUCUUCGGGAAUAUGGUGAAUCAAGUAACCUAUUGCACACCUAGGGUCCCUGCUCCAGUAUUUGGAUUUGUUCUAUAAUUAUUUGUGGUGGUAAUUAGAACUUUUUAGUAAUUAUUAUUGCACAGGUUCGGCACCUGUCAAUUUUUGGCGCCGUUGCCGGGGAGUUGGCGUUUGGAUUAUUUGUUUCUUUUCAAAUUCAGUAUUUAUUUUAUUUUUAUUUUAUUCUAUUCUUCUUGGUAUUUUUGCUAGUUUAUGCCCCAUUCUUCUCGCACAGGUGAAUUAGUAUACGAUCAUGAGGUUGAGAAGGCAGCGCGUAGGCGGAGGCAAGAGACCAAGAGACGAAAAGAAGGGCCCUUAUUUAUUGCAAACGAGUCGGUAGAAGACGAAGUAAGCAUGGCCAACACCCAAACAUUAAAGGAGCUGGCUGCCCCGGAGCUGAUUCACCAGCCCUUAUGCAUCACAUUCCCCACUCUGGCUGAGAAUACUGCUUUCGAACUGAAGUCGGGGCUGAUUCACCUCUUACCUUCUUUCCAUGGUCUCUCUGGUGAAGAACGCCACAAGCACGUUAAGGAGUUCGAGGUGGUUUGCUCUAGUAUGAAACCUCCUGAGGUCACUGAAGAGCAAAUUAGACUGAGAGUCUUUCCGUUCUCUCUCAUGGAUGCAGCUAAAGAUUGGCUGUACUACCUACCAGCAUGUAGUAUUAUCACAUGGGCACAGUUGAAGAAGAAGUUUUUGGAAAAAUUCUUCCCUGCAUCCAGGGCUGCGAGUUUGAGGAAGGAAAUCUGCAGCAUUAAACAGUAUUCCGGGGAGUUCUUGUAUGAAUAUUGGGAAAGAUUUAACAAGUUGUGCACUAGAUGCCCGCAGUAUCAAAUUAGUGAACAACUGUUAAUCCAAUACUUCUAUAAAGGACUCCAAUCAACUGAUAGGAGUAUCAUUGACGCUGCGAGUGGGAGAGCACUGGCAAACAAGACACCAAAGGAAGCAUGGGAGCUUAUUGAAGCUAGGGCAGAGAAUUCUCAACAGUUUGGCUUCCGUGAGAGUAACCCUACCCGCAGGGUUAAUGAGGUGGAGUCAACAUCUAUUCAGCAACAGUUAUCGGAGCUCACAUCCGUUGUUCGACAAUUAGCUGUGGGGAAUGUGCCCCAAGUAAAGGCCUGUGGAAUCUGCACAAAUAUGGCCCACCAUACUGACUCAUGCCCUAUGUUGCAAGAAGAUGGGGCUGAACAAGUGAACAUGGCUGGAGGCGUGCCCGCGCUUCGUAGACCGUACGACCCAUACUCCAACACGUACAAUCCGGGUUGGAGAGAUCACCCGAAUUUCAGCUAUGGUAAUAGGCCACAAAAUGCAUUCUCCAAUCAUCCACAAGGAUUUCAGCAACUUUGGCAACAGAAGUCUCAGCCCUCGCCCUCUAACUCAGGAAGUUCUUUGGAGGAAAUUGUCAAGAGUUUGACUACGACCACCACUCAACUCCAGCAGGAGACUAGGACAUUAGUCACGACUACUGCCCAACUCCAGCAAGAGACUAGGUCCUUAGUCGCGAGCACCACCCAGUUCCAACAGGAUACCAAAGCGGGCAUGAAAGACAUGGAGACUCGCAUGAGUCAGAUGGCAACCGCCAUUAAUCGCCUGGAGUCCCACGUCUAUGGGAAACUGCCAUCGCAACCUGAGGCAAAUCCCAAAAAUGUGAGUGCAAUGACAUUAAGGAGUGGCAAGGAAGUGGAGGGGCCAAGGGUCACGGACUUGAAAAGUAAAAGUGAAGACAAGAUCGAAAAGGAGAUAGAGGAAGAAGGACACAUUCGUGGAGGUCCUGGGGUAACUCUUACACCAUCAUUACCCGUUAAAUCUACUUUACCCCCUUUCCCAUGCAGGUUGGCAAAGACGAAGAAGGCAGAGAAGGAAAAAGAGAUCCUGGACGUGUUCAAAAAAGUGGAGAUCAACAUCCCCUUGUUGGAAGCAAUUAAGCAGGUGUCGAAGUACGCGAAAUUUCUCAAGGAUCUAUGCACCCAUAAAAGGAAAUUGAGAGGGGAUGAAAGAGUGGUGGUGGGAGAAAACGUGUCAGCCAUGCUCCAAAGAAAGUUCCCACCCAAGUGUGGAGAUCCAUGUAUGUUCACGAUCCCCUGUAAGAUAGGGAAUACACCGAUUAGAAAAGCAAUGUUAGAUUUAGGAGCGUCAAUCAAUGUGAUGCCAAAGACCAUUUUUGCUUCUUUAAAUCUUGGGCCACUUAAAGAAACAGCCAUCAUAAUCCAACUAGCUGAUUGCACAAAUGCAUAUCCAGAGGGGCUAGUUGAAGAUGUUCUGGUUCAGGUAAAUGAAUUAGUUUUUCCUGCAUAUUUUUAUAUCUUGGACAUGGGAGAUGAAAAAUCAUUAAACCCGUCACCUAUCUUGUUAGGUAGACCGUUUCUUAGCACUGCCAGGACUAAGAUAGAUGUGAAUGAGGGUACUUUGUCAAUGGAAUUUGAUGGUGAAACUGUGAAUUUCAAUAUUUUUGAGGCGAUGAAGUAUCCAGAAGAAUCUAACUCGGUCUUUGCUUUGAGCGUUAUUGAGCCUUUUGUGCAGGAAACUUUCGAAUUAGAUGGCAAAGACGCAUUGGAAGUGGCUCUAAUCAAGCAUCUGGAGUUGGGUGUAACUCUUGAUGUGGACCUAAGGGAAGAUUUGCUCCAUGCUGUUGAGGCCUUACAUUCACUACUCACCGUAUCCCCAAGGUAUGAACUUACUUCUCUUUUUGUGCCAGAAACUCAGACGAAGUUGCUUCUUUCAGUUGUGCAGGCACCGGAGUUAGACUAAAGCCUCUCCCGAAGCAUCUAAAGUACGCAUUCCUAGGAGACCGGGAGACACUUCCGGUGAUCAUCUCUGCACACCUAUCUCCAAGUCAAGAGGACAGACUGGUACGAAUCCUUAGGGAGCAUAAGGAGGUAAUUGGGUGGAGCAUAGCCGAUAUUAAAGGGAUUAACCCGUCCUUGUGUAUGCACCGGAUAAGACUCGAGGAUGAUGCAAAGCCGGUGAGGCAAGCACAGCGAAGAUUGAACCCUCUGAUGAUGGAAGUUGUGAAAAAGGAGAUACUCAAGCUUCUGGAGGUAGGGAUCAUUUUCGCUAUUUCGGAUAGUCCGUGAGUGAGUCCUGUCCAAGUGGUCCCGAAGAAGGCGGGAGUGACCGUGAAGGAGAACCAGGAGGGUGAUAUGGUCCCGGUCAGGAGAGCUACUGGGUGGCGUCAGUGCAUCAACUACCGGAGGCUAAAUUCUGUGACUAAAAAGAAUCAUUUUCUCCUCCCUUUUAUUGAUCAGAUGGUAGAACGGUUGGCGGGUCGUGUUUACUAUUAUUUUUUGGAUGACUUUUCAGGUUACUUUCAGAUCGCGAUCGCACCGGAAGAUCAGGAAAAGACUACCUUCACAUGCCCAUUUGGUACGUUUGCCUACCGCCGGAUGCCUUUCGGCCUCUGCAAUGCUCCAGCAACCUUUCAACGGUGUAUGGUAAGUAUUUUCUCUCAGUAUGUGGAAAAAAUAAUUGAGGUGUUCAUGGAUGAUUUUAGUGUAUACGGGGACAGUUUUGAUGAAUGCCUUGAGAAUCUGGCUCUAAUUCUGAAAAGAUGCAUAGAGACGAAUUUGGUGUUUAAUUGGGAAAAAUGUCACUUUAUGGUAGAUCAUGGCAUUAUCUUAGGACACGUUGUGUCGGCUAAGGGAAUAGAGGUAGAUAAAGCUAAAAUAGACCUUAUUUCUGCUCUACCUUACCCCGUAUGUGUACGGGAAGUGCGUUCAUUUUUGGGUCAUGCAGGAUUUUACAGGAGGUUUAUCAAAGACUUCUCAAAGAUAGGAGCACCCCUGUUCAAGUUACUGCAAAAGGACGUGCCAUUUGAUUUCACGAAUGAAUGUAAGGUGGCUUUUGAUAAAUUGAAGGAGUCGUUGACAUCGCCGCCUGUCAUUCAACCACCAGAUUGGAGCGUUCCGUUUGAAAUCAUGUGCGACGCGAGUGACUAUGCCGUGGGGGCCGUUUUGGGGCAAAGAAUUGGAAGAGUGCCACACGCGAUCUACUACACGUCGAGAGCAUUAAGUGGAGCCCAACUUAAUUACUCCACGACGGAAAAAGAAUUACUAGCUGUUAUUUUUGCACUAGAAAAAUUUAGGUCAUAUUUAUUGGGUGCAAAAGUAAUUGUUUUCUCUGAUCAUGCAGCUUUGAGGUACUUGCUGGCGAAAAAAGAUGCAAAAUCGAGGCUGAUUAGGUGGAUCCUGCUCCUACAGGAAUUCGAUCUAGAGAUCAAGGACAAGAGCGGAGCCGAAAAUUUGGUGGCUGACCAUUUAAGCCGGUUGCUCACAAAUCAAGAAGAUCUACCGUUGAGAGAAUCAUUUCCCGAGGAGCAACUUUUAGCCAUUAAUUCGUCGGCACCAUGGUAUGCUGAUAUUGUCAAUUUUUUGGUAGCAAACCAAUUACCUGCAGAUUGGCCAAAGGCUAGAAGAGAUAAAUUAAAAAGUGACGCCAAGCACUAUAUUUGGGAUGACCCCUACCUGUGGAGGCAAUGCUCGGACCAAGUGAUAAGAAGGUGUGUAAGUGCAUGUGAGUUUUAUUCUAUUUUGACUUUCUGUCAUUUAUUUGCAUGUGGAGGGCAUUGUGGUCCAAAGCGGACGGCUCGUAAAGUGUUAGAAAGUGGUUUUUAUUGGCCUACUCUUUUUAAGGAUGCAUAUUUGUUCUGCAAAUCUUGUGAUAAGUGUCAAAGGGUGAGGAAUAUCUCUCGUAGAGACCAAAUGAGUCAAACCCCCAUAUUAUUUGUUGAAAUUUUUUAUAUUCGUCUUUUGGUUUCUUGUACAUUAUACUUGCUGUUGACUAUGUUUCCAAAUGGGUGGAGGCAAAAGCCACCCGGACUAAUGAUUCUAGAGUAGUCGCAAAUUUUAUAAGAUCUAACAUUUUUGUCCGUUUCGGAAUGCCGAGAGCUAUAGUGAGUGACAGGGGCACCCAUUUCUGCAAUAAGACAAUCACUGCAUUGUUUCGUAAGUAUGGUGUGCUCCAUAAAUUGUCCACUCCAUAUCAUCCACAAACGAAUGGGCAGGCCGAAGUGUCGAAUAGGGAGGUCAAGUCAAUUUUAGAGAAGAUGGUGCGGCCUGAUAGGAAAAACUGGAGUCUGAAAUUGGAAGAUGCUCUCUGGGCCUACCGCACCGCAUAUAAAACACUAAUUGGGAUGUCCCCAUACAUGUUAGUUUUUGGGAAGCCCUGCCACCUCCCGGUGGAAUUUGAACACAGAGCAUUCUGGGCGCUUAAGGGGUGUAAUAUGGACCUUAUGGAGGCCGGGGGACACAGAAAGUUCCAAUUACAAGAGUUGGAAGAGCUAAGGAAUGAAGCCUAUGAGAACGCUGCAAUAUAUAAGGAGAAGAGUAAAAUUUUUCAUGACCAACAAAUGUCGAGAAAGUCGUUUGUCAUAGGGCAAAAGGUCCUACUUUAUCACUCGAGACUUAAGCUUUUUCCUGGUAAGUUGCGUUCCCGUUGGAUUGGUCCAUUUGUUGUUACUAAUAUUUCUCAUUAUGGUGCAGUGGAAAUCCAAAAUCUGAAGACGGAGAAAAGGUUCGUAGUCAAUGGUCACCGUCUAAAACCUUAUUAUGAAGGGUUUAAUAGUGAGCAAGUGGAGGUUCUAUUCCUUGAUAAUCCAAGUGGUGAAAUCUAAACAGUUGAAGGCCAUGUCUAGCCAAAGACGUUAAAGAAAGGCGCUGCUUGGGAGGCAACCCAAGGAUUACAAUAUUUGUUGUGAUCAUUCUUCAUUACUCUGCAAUUUUUCAGUUUCCUUUUAAUGUUUUGAUUGUUUUUGUGGUGUUGGACAGAAGAAUAGGGGUUCCAAGGCGUGCCCACGCCUUGGAAAGGUUGCGCCAGGUGCCCUGAGCAAAUUGGAGACUAGCAGCUCCAAGGUGUGCCCACGCCCUGACAGAAAUUCGUUUGGACAUCAUUUAGAUACUGUGGUCAGAAUACCAUGCCCUCCAAGGCGUGCCCACGCCUUCCAACCCCUCCGAUAGCGAAAGUAAAAAAUAAAAAAAAAAAAUUUUUGACCCAGACCCUCCUUUUUCACUUUGUCUUCUUCUUUGCUUAGUCCUGCCCAGUACCUCUGUCUAAGUUUUUCCCCGCUGAAGUUUCUUUUGUUGUUGUCUUAGUAGCCAUUUCACUUCCUUCUCCCCUUGUGUUGUUGGUCGUCCUUCGCCGUGCGCCGCCUCUGCUAGCCGCCGCCGCCGCUGCCUUCCACCAGCAGUCUGCCGCCGCCCCCGAGGUCCAGCAGCUCCGCAGCGAGCAGCCUGCACGGCGUCAGAUUCGCGGCCGCAGCAGAUCCGCAGCCUCCGCACCACGCGCGACAGGAGCGCACCGCAAGCUUCUCCUAGCAGCGCGCCUGUGCGCCAAACCCCCUGUGCGCCAAACCCCCUGCGCGCCUGCUCCCUUUCCUCUGCUGCUCCACCCUAAGCCCAGCAACGCGCGCCUGCCGCGCGCGACCUCCAGCGCGCAACCCUCGCGCGCGCGGACAGUAACCGCGCCCACCCCACCGCGCGCUCCACAGCGCCUCGCCAGUCGCACAGCACCAGAUCUGCGCAGCCCGCCUGCGCGGCCUUCCUCACAGCCGCGUGCCACCAGCUCUCCCUCUCCUCAAUUUUUCGUCCCAACAGGGGCCAGGAAAAAGUGGUACCCCUAUUUGCCUCUCUUGUUGAAUUGGUGACUUCGAUUGGGAAUUUUAAUUGCUAAAUUUUCGCUUCCUUCGGGGUUAACAAAAAAUUUAUUCGGGUAAUUGGAGGGACCGUUUGAUUGUUGUCUGAAAGUGGGAGACCUAACACCUGCCUUUCUUUGAUUAUCUAUUUUGGGACAUCUGUGGGCUCUGGUUAAUUUAUAUUUUAAUUCAAGUGGUUAGUUCAUCGUUGAUUGUUGCCUGUUAUUGACUGAUAUCUUGAUUUGAGGGGAGUUGGAUCGGUCUUGUUUAUUGUUGUCGGCUAAUUGGCGGCAGUGGGACAUUGGUUGAUGUUUGUUGUCUAGUUGUUGUUUAGUGGGGUAAUUGUGUCCCCCUUUGCUGUUGAGCUGCUGAGUAUUUAGUAAUUUUGGUUGACUGUGGUCCCCUAUCUGCUUUUGGUGGUUGGUUGGCUAUCUUUGAGCUGAUUUACUCUGUCUGUGGUCCCUGAAUGCCUCCUAAAAAGGCAACCACUGCUGGGCCGUCUGGGUCCCAGCCUCGCAAGAGGCGAGCCCCGGUUCAACCCCUCAUUCGGUCCCGUCUGGGCCUGAAUAAGAGCACUAUGUCUCCUGGGGGAGGGGGGAAACGGUCAUUAAUCUUACACCGGCACAAGUGGAGCGGUUUAAUAACUUGGCACACCGUCCUUUUACUCCUUGUAAGUACUUCCAUGCCCCAACCUUGGACCAUUUGCGAAUUGCACGGGAAGUUGAACAGUUGUUCUCGGCCAUAGGUUGGCAAAAAUAUCUAAUCAUUAACUACCAUACGUUUGAGGAGCUGUGUUGUGAAUUCUACUCCACUUUCGAGUUUAACAGAAAUGAAUUCAUCACUUUGGAUGAGCCGGAGGUCAUUAAUUUCAGAUUGGGAGGUACUCAGUUUGGUAUGUCCAUUAAUGAGUUUAAUCUGACUUUGGGGUUUGUUAGUGAGGACACCAUUGCCUCCGGGGCAUAUAUAAACAGUGCGUGUGACUACACCAGACCGUUCUCUACUGACUACAUUGACAUUUGGAGGGAGUGGUCCACGGAUCGUCAGGUUUACAAUCCGAGUCAGUCGAAGGCUUCCCAUCUGAAGGAUCCGGUCUUGAAGGUUAUCCACAGGUUCUUAGCUCACAAUUUCUCGGGGCGAAAGGAUACCUCCAGCACGCUUACCAAAGUGGAAUUUUAUUUUCUUUGGUGCAUGCGCAACAGGGUUCAGGUUAACUUUGGAUGUUGGGUGGCCACCCAGAUGGAAACGGUCAUGCAAAAGCGUAAUAAGCCGGUGAUUCUGGGUUCACUCAUUACUCACUUGGCCAUUCGAGUGGGAGUGCUUGAUCUGGACAAGGGGCACAACUACGCUCUAGCUCGAGAAAUUGAACCCCUGGAUUUGCGUAGCUUGGAGCGAAUGGGGGUUAUUUUCAAAGUGGGCGAUAUCUAUCAGUUUAUGCCCCCUGGCGAGGGCGGGGCACAGCCCCGGGUUCCUCCGACUGCCCCAUCCACUGAGCCUCAACCGCAUCCGGAUCAGGCGGGCCCGUCCUCCUCUCAUGCUCCCCCUGACUGGGAACCCCAAUUUCACUCUCUCUAGAGGUCUAUCCAUGCACUAGGAGGGCGAGUUGAGGGAAUAGAAGACCGGCUUCGAGCACUACAAGUCUUCGCCCGUAUUCAGACAGAGAAUCAAGCGACUUUCUAUGCUCAUAUUGGCUUCCAGCCGCCGCAUCCACCGCCUCCUUAGGCUCCAGCCGCACCUUUUCAGUAGUCAGGGAAGUUUUCGCUCCCUCUGUCCUUACAAUUUAUUUUUUCUGGGUUACAUUGAGGACAAUGUAGGUUUUAGGUGGGGGGAGUGGCUUCCAUUAGUUCUUUUUCAUUAGUUCUUUCUCUUUUUCAUUAGUUCUUUUUGCUUUGUUACUCAAAAAAAAAACAUGGGAUGAAUGAAAAAAAAAGGGAAAAUGAAAAACAUUGUAGUUAGUCGGCUUUUUGGUUUAUUUCUAUGCUUGUUAGUGUUGGGUCAUGUUGCUGUGAUGAAUGACACAAUCAAAGUGAGUGGGUAUGUGGUCAAAUAUGCGAGCCGUGCAUUUUGUUUCCCUUGACAAUGUCGUUGAAUGUUGAAUAUGUUGGAAUUGACCCAUUCUUGUAACUUUUGGGGAGCUUUUGAGCCUUGCUUGAGCAUAUUAUUCUUGUUUGCUCUAUUUUUGGUUGAUUGAGUGGGUAUCGCACAUGGUAUUGGCAUUCUAGAACUUGCUAUUUUAUACAUGUCGAGACCACAUUUUGUUGAACUGGAUGCAUUUGAAAUGAUAAGGGCAUUUAGGAUUUAACCCUCUUUAGCUAUCUAAAACCAAGCCCUCAUCUUAUUUCCCAAUAGUGAACCAGUUUGAGCUUUUAUCCUUCGCUUUUGGUUGUUAUCCGUGUUUGUUAACCCGAGACCUCUUUAAACUCUCUUGUUUAUCCCUGUGUUGUCAAGGGAUGGCUGAAAUCCAUCAUUUGUGCAAAGCAAACAAAAUUUGGGGUUGCAAGUGUUGUUAGAUUGGGAGCUAUAUGAUGCUAUCCUUGUAUAAAGAGGGAGAAAUUGGAAAAAGGCCACUAACCAGAAGACUUUGUCUUACAGGGCGUGCCCACGCCUUGCAGGACUUUCUCCCUUAAAAAAAAAAAAUUCUGAGGAGACCUCGUGAGCAGAGGACUAUGGGCUAUAAGGCGUGCCCCCGUCUUGCGAGCCGUUUACUGCAAAAAAAAAAAAAAAAAGGGCACUUGCACAGUGUGUACAGCAAAUGAAAAUUGCCUUGUUUGUGAUACUCCUCCGGUAAAGCACUGUGGUUAUUGGUGAGUUUCGGACAUUCUCUUGACACUUUACCCCCUAUAUGUACCUUCUUACCUCGCCUCUCACCUGAGCCCCAUUAUUACAACCUGUCCGGUGUGUUCUAAUUUCGGCGAUAUUGUCAGGGAUCUGAGGUGCUUGUGUCAGUAUAGCUUAUUGCAUGACCUUUGCUCUCUCGGUUGCACUUCUGAGCUCCGAAAUGCUUGAGGGCAAGCAUUGUCUAGGUGUGGGGGGAUUUGAUAGAGCCGUUAUUUGGCACGUUUUGCAAUGUUAUUUUGUCAUAAUUUUGGCUAUUUACUGUGCUAAGUACUGAGGUUUAACUUAUAUUUCAUAUUUGUAUGAAUUAUAGGUGGCCGGCAUUAAAAAUGAUCUCUUGAGGCAAAUUUACAGAAGAUCUUUCGUCUCAGAGCGUGGCCACGCCUUAAAAGGUAGACGUUAUCGAAAAGCCGGACCCUGGUCCACGUGAACCGCGAGGAGCAUGGGAUUAAAACUCCAAAAGGCUAGCUUUUGUUUCAAUCAAUUGGGUCAGAUGUGACUUGGCUCCUGGCGGCUUCAAUUAAAAAGAAACUCCAAUGAGAAUGAGGAAAUUAGGUCCACAUGGACCAGCUAUGCGGGAUAAAAACUCCAAUGAAGAGAAGAGCUUUGCUCCGCGUGGAUUUCCCCUGCGGCGCUAUAUAAGACAACAAGAAAAGGGACCCGGGGGGCGCUACUUUUAGCUUUAGAUUUACUUCUGCAAGAUUUGUGAGACGUUUGCUUUUUCUUUCUUUCUUCCCUACGGGAGUUUGAGUUUUUCCUUUUCCCAGGCGCUAGACGUCCUUGCCCCUUUUGACUUUUCACUGGAUAAUUUCUGCGUAGCUUUUGGCUUGUACUGGCGGCUUCAACACGAAGCCAGAACCACGCGAGCUUCAUCGUGAGAGCUUUUGUCUCUUCUUAGUAGAUAAUUUGACUUGCGGCUUUGGCUCUGCGUUACUUUAUUUCCUCCAUCCUCUUCGGCAAUUAAUUGAAUGAAUUCAAUUAAAUCACGCGGGAUUGACACGAUGAGGAGCGGCUAAUUUUCUCCUCUACCCAAAGGUUGACGCGAAGGCGCGGUCCAUAAUAUCUGUGAGAUCUAAUCGAAUCUUCAUUAUUUCUUCCAAUUUAUUGCUAUUCGUACGUUUUCUGAAUUAAUUGUUCAUGGGUAUUGUAUUAAUUGAAUAUCAAUGGCCGGGUAUUUGAUUUAAUUUAAUAGCCUACUGCCACGUUAAUUAAAUAGAAUCCGUAAUUGUUCAUUUAGUUAACACCCCAUGGCAACCACCAUAAUUGGCUUUAUGAUGGGAAAACGCAAGAUCUAGCUUAAAUAAACCCUCUUAGCGUGUUUAUUGGUUAGGGUUGGGUUCUUAUAGUUUUAAUGCAAUUGGGUAAUUAAAUUCCUAUGGUCGUACCUGGGGUUGUUAUCUGGUUAGGGAAGCAGUUAAUGGUCGUACCUUGACUGUCGAAAAAGUAAGGAAGAAUUGGUUGUCAGAGCUUAUUGAUAACUAUAACCAACCUAGUGAUGAAUGGAUGAAAUACCUUUGCAUCGAUGAGCAUUUAAUUGGACCGUGCCUGAGCAGUUGAACCUUUGGGUAGAAUUUUAUUAAUUGCUAUUUUUAGUGAAUUGUGCUUUGUGAGUUGGUUUUGAAUUUAGUUCGCUUUAUUUUUAUUCUUAUUUUUAUUUUAAUUGUUUGCCUCCCAUUGAAAAUCCCCCAAUUCCAUUCUACUAAUUUGGAAAGAAAUAAUUUCCUACCCGCUCCCUGUGGAAUCGACCCUACUUGCCAUUGUACACAAAAGUAAUACUCUUAUGGACUAAUCUGGUAUAUCGGAUCAAGCAAACUCUUCGGGAAUAUGGUGAAUCAAGUAACCUAUUGCACACUUAGGGUCCCUGCUCCAGUACUUGGAUUUGUUCUAUAAUUAUUUGUGGUGGUAAUUAGGACUUUUUAGUAAUUAUUAUUGCACAGGUUCGGCACCUGUCAGUAUCUGUAAAAAUUACGAGUACAUGGUCCAACAGAGGAGUAGAUAUUACUUACUGAGCGAUUUGUCGCUUAACCCACUUUUUACCAUUCUUGCAGAUUUGAAAAAGUAUGAGUUGGUUACGUAGAGGACCCCGAGGAUGACUUUUAUUAGCUUUAAAGGAAUAGAAGUUGGCAGGCUAGCUACUUCUAGUUAUCGGUCUUAUUUAUUUUCGAUUCCGUUGUUUCCAUUAGAAAAUAAAUGUACGAACGUAUUGGAUAUUCGCAGACUACCUUUUAUAUGAGAUUUGUACCGCACUUUAUUUUAGUUAUAUUAUUUCGUACUUUUGAAGUUUAGACUAGUUAAAUUAUGCCUUGUAUUCUUGAACGGAAUUCGAGAAUAUGGCGGAUGCCACGUGACAAGCACGUGCGGGUUCGGGGCGUGACAUCAUCAAUGCAGAUCAACAACAUGAAAUGCUAUUCUCUUAGAGUCCGUUUGAAUUGCUAUUCUCUGAAGUUUUUGUUGAAAAAUAUACUGUAGUGAUUUAAUGUAUGUGAGAUAAAAAGAUAAUUAGAAAAUAUAUUCGUGGAAAACGUAAAAAUUUUGUGAAGAAAAAUAGCAAUCCAAAAUUAUGAGUUCAAGCAAAAGAUUUCACUUUUGACAGCCAACAAUGAUUAAGACAAAUUUUCAUGGAUUCUAUUUUUACCCCAGUGAGUUCUUGAGAAGUAAAAUUUAACAUAUACUAGUUUUGUAACUUAAUAGAAAUAGCAUGUAAAAAUCGAAAAGCCUCUUGCUUCAACUAUUUAGUUUUCUUGUGACUUAUUAUAGUUUGUUAAUUAUAAGCUAAAAAAGUUGUAUAGAGAGCCUUUUCAAUAAAAUGAAAAUCUUAAUUUGCCUAAGAUAGUUAUGUUACUUAUUUUUCUUCUGUAUAUAAUUUUAACACCUAUAGAAGCAAGAACUAUUUAUUUUCUCAACAAUUCUUAACAAAUCAAAAUUUUUAAUUUGCUUAAAGUAGUUGUGUUACUUAUUUUGACUGUCGAUCGCAUUUUAACACUUAAAAGCACUUACUUUUUUGUUUCCUCACAAACUAUUCUGAUCACCUCCUUCACCCAUCCUCUGAAGCAAACCAUUUAAUGAUUUCCAGUGUGUCAUUCUAUAUUAUAUUAUUCAUUCGACAGUUGUACUCUUUUUUUUUGGGAGAUAGUUAUAUUAUUUUUACUUAUUCAGUGAAUAUUAUUUCCAUGUCUUAAAUUUAGGGGAAAUUAACAGAUAAAAAUAAUCUACGCUGUUCUUGCCACCAAUGAAAUUAAUCCUUAGCUCCACCACUGGAACCACCAAAUAAAAUUGAUGUGAAUUUCACCAAUAAUGAGAGUUUCACCAAAUAAAAUUUGGGCUUUGUUUAUUUGUGCCUCAGUAAGUGUUCUCUGUACUUCGAAGAAAAUGGCUAGUGCUGAUUAUUGAUCUAAACAGGGAUUUUGAAAACUUAAAUGAGAACAAAGGUGGAGGUCAUGGAUGAUAUUAAAGGUGGAAAUUUGGUCCAGGACGACCGAACUAUUGCAUGUUCUUCAUGGUGCUGAAUCGGUAGAUUGCUUGCCAUGUUUGUCCAACAUGAUGAAUUCAAUCUGCCGCUAGUCAUAUCUCCUCAACUAUUAAAACAGAUAUCAUCUUACAGAUGAAUCAGUAAAGAAUGAGUUUCUGAAACGUUAUUGUCUUGACUAGUUCAUGGAAGAGUACAACAUAAUCCACAAUCAAACUUGAUGAUCUCAGAUACGAACUACUAAUAAGGACUUUGGUAUCCCCAGUUGCUUCAGCAAUUCUUUGUGCAGACCCUUCUACAGAUUGUCUGCACCAGUGCACUUCAAUCACUUCCAGUGUACCUGUGUCUGCAAAAUCAUAGGGGAUUUCCAAAGAUCUCAAGCAAUAAUCGAUAGUUGGGUAUCCAGAUUGAGCAAAACAUUCCAUUGCAUCAAUUAGUUGGAAGUUGAAUUAAGAAACACAUCAUCUCACAAAUGAAUCGAGAGAAGAACAAGUUACUGAAAUUUGAUUAUCUUACAAGUUCGGGGAGUAAUACAACAGAAUCCACAAUCAUACUCUUGACAGGUGCCGAACCUGUGCAAUAAUAAGUACCUACUCGAGAAAAAUACAGAUUUUGUAUAUAGCGGUGAGUAGGGUCGAAUCCACAGGGACCGGGGAUAAUUCGUUUCUUCUAGAGUCCAAGGUAUGGGGGGUUUUGGAUUAAAUGCUAACUAAAUAAAUUAAAUGCAGAAAAUAAAUAAAAGAAAUAAUUAUUGGAGAAACUCUAGCCAAGGGUACACUUCAGACAUGGUUCAGGCACUGAUCAUUGAUUCACAGAUAAUUCCACAUUUAUUAAUAGAUUAGUUAUAGUUGUCAUGCACGCGAUAAACAACCAACCCUUCCUUAAUUUCUCGAUAGCUAAGGUACGACCGUCAACUAUUUCUCUAACCAAAAAACAACCCUAGGUACGACCGUAGGAUUUAAUUUCUAGAUUGCAUUAAUAAUUAGAAAGGCCCAAUCCUAACUAACAAACACGCUACGAGGGUUUGUUUAAGUUAGAUCGUAUGUUCCCCUGACGUAAACCCAAUUACGCCAGUUGCUACUGAGAUAAAGAUAACGAACAAUUACGGAUUCAAUUAUCCCUAUUUAGCAAAAUAGCCUAUGUGAAUAAUUAAAUAUUGCGCAUCUAUUCAAUCACUCACACGAGCUAUAGCAAUUAAAAGCAGGAAACAUAUAAAUACCAAUAAAUUAAGGAAGCAAUUAAAAUAAAUUAGAUCUCACAGUAAUUGUUGAACCAAGUCUUCAGUUGUCCCCUUGACUAGAAUUAAGAGGUUAGUCCUCCAUUAAUGGAGAACAACCAUGCGAAAGAACUAAGAAAAGAAAAACUAAAACUAUGCUAAAAGCCUAAAUUAAAAACUAUUGAUUGAUAAAAGUUCUCUGUACGUUUCCCCUUUUUAAAGCCAAAAGGAAGUCUAAUGCUAUCUCUAGUGGUCCCCACACCAAAUUCAAAGUCUUGUACGUUUCUUUUCCUAGAGUCCAAAUGACUCAUGCUUCUUAUCCGUGGUCCCCGCACAUGUGGACAAAGCCUCCAAAGUACUUGUUGUUCCAAAUCUCUCUACGUUGCUUUCUUUGAAAAGCCCAAAUGACUAAAUGCCUUGCACUAGCUUGUGGUCCCCACCAAUUCAAGGACCCAAAGGUUGAAGCCCUUAGAAGUCUGCAUUUUUCCAUACAAGUCCCUCCUUUUUGGUAAUUUUCUGCUUCACUCCUGAAAUUGAUUCCAAAUACCAAAUAUGAGUAAAUAUCAGCAAUUAACACAAUAUUUGUCAGGAAUAGAAGGGGAAAUCAAUAAUAAAUUUACUAACAAAUUAUACCCUAUCAACUCUUAUCAUCUCAAAUAUGAACUACUAAUAAGCACUUUGAUGUCCCCAGUUGCUUCCCUGAUUCUUUUUGCAGACUCUUCUGCAGAUUGUCCACACCAGUGCACUUCAAUCAAUUCCAGUGUGCCUAUGUCAGCAAAAUCAUUCGGGAUUUCCUCGAGGUCUUUGCAAUUUUGCAAGACAAAGCCGUUCAAGUUUGGGAAGGUGAUCACAAGUGGCAUUCCAUUGAGAAACGUUCAGAUUGUCUAACUUCAAGAAUUUGAGUUCCUUGAAGUGUUCUUCCUCCAUGUCCCAUAUCAGCCCCUCAAAGGCAUCACGAAGUAAUUCGAGAACUUCCAGGUUGGGUAGUCUCCCAAUUGUUGAGAUCUGACUCCAUGGUAGACGAAAGUUUGAAAGAGUCAAUUUCCUCAGAUUGGACGGGAGAAUGAAUUCCCUGGUAAUAGCGCUCCCGUAGUAAAAUACAUUGAGUGACACCAAAUGAGUUAGAAAAUCUAAUCUUGGAAACUGAUAGGAAUUCUUCGGAGAACCCUGUGGUUGAAAGAAUAUGCAUCUCAGUUUCUGAAGAUUUGGCAACCUCUUUAUUAUUGAUUCUGUAUCUUCACCACAAGAGAGAGAGAGACGGGAAAAGCUGACCAAAUUUCCCAACUGAGAGCAGCCUUCAAGCCCUUCAUCAUCCAAUGUGAAAGCAACAUGCAUAUUCACAUGAAGAUGCCUCAACCUUGUCAUGUGCCAAAUAGUAUCU